AUGCCACAAGGUCCCUAUAGACAAGGGGACAAGUGAAUCAUCGCUUUUGGGCGCAGGCAACCCUCUACCAUCCAUCCCAUUGCAUUCCUCUCGUAGAGUACUGUACCGUUUCAGACCAGAUACAUCUAUGGAAAGAAAGGAUUUCAUAGAAAAUCUGCAUUUUUCUAUUUUUUUUUAUCCCCAUGCAUUCCGUUAUUCCCGUAACUAUGGAUUGAUUGUCCCUACCUAACUAAAUGGUAGUGGUCUAGGGAGCGCAAUUGCUAGAGCACGGGAGAAUGAAGAGUAAUGAUUUAAGCAAGAGCAGCCGGACGGACUACUAUAGUCAGUCUAGUGACUACUAUAGUCUUUUCUUUCUUUGUAGUUAAGUAAUAAUGUUUGGUAUAGCAGCCUUUCCGAGCGAGUCUCUGGGAUCUCCUGUAAACCCCCAUGAUGUGGUAAAGGGAGGAUAUUAGGGGAAGCAGUGAGUGGAGAUUCCCCUGCGGAGAGCCGGAUGAGGGGAGACCCUCACGUCCGGUUCGGAGGGCGGGGAUAUCCCGACCCUACUAUCAUUAUGCCUUUGCAAUGUUACUUGGUUCAACUCCAUUUGUGACCUUUUCUCAUAUGUUGGACUCUCUAUCUUCUUGGGUAGAUUCUAGAUCGUCUUCCAUUUUGUUAGUGAGUAGUUUUCUUAUUAAUAAGUCAAGUCAAGAGUAAUAAGAGAACUGUAGGAGCUUGCCAGGAUGGCUUGGUAAGCAAGCUACCUAUUAUGUAGGCGCCAACUCCCAGUUCUUUCUCUUCUUUCUUUUUGAUUUUUUAUUCUCGUUUUUUACUAAACGUACAGUCUCCUUUCCGGGGAAGGGGUAACAUAGACGGAGGCACAUGUAGACAGAUACAGACUUUUUCAAUCUUUUGCCUAUGCGAAGUAGUUGAUCCCUCCGAGGUAAGGGCGAAUCGAGACCGAAAGCGACUAAUAAAAUAGCAUAAUCUGAACACAUAGCUGAACACAUAGUUUAAGUAGAAACUGUUAAAGCUCCCUGGUCUCGAAACGGCCGGCUUUGGUUCAGCUCUCGGGGCCACCUUACACACUAAUAAAAUCGUCAGCUUCCUUCCCCACUCAUCGCCCUCACUUUAAGACGAAAAAUCCAAUUCGAUUCAAAGAUCAGAAUCAUACCUCCAGCGGGCAAGGUCGGCUCAAGAAAUGGAAGUUGUGAGAUGGAAAGAAAACCACGAAAAAAGAACUAAAUUAGGGAUCAAUCCAUACGCGGCUUGCCUUCUCCCCUUCCCCAUAGUAAGCCAGCCAAUAGAAUAGUACCCUAACUUAAGAAGUUCUCUUAGCUAGCGCAUGUCCAUUAAUGUGACCACCGCAUGCUCCUGCAUGAGUUUCAUGAAUGGUUUGUUUUCAAAUCCUAUCUCUCUAGGGAAAGGUAUCUUUUUUCAGUUCGAACAACGGUAUCCCUACCUGGCAAACUAUCCUCGUUUUCGAAGUCCCUAGUUUUGUCCUCUGCUGUAGUAUUCCGGUUAGUUGACGGCUUCCUUCAUUGGAAAUCUAGCCAGUGCUUUCCAUUAGGUGUGCAAUGAAGGAUAGCCUUGCUUUUCUUCUGAUUCUGAUUCAGUCCAAAGAUAGAGACAAAAGAAAGGUAAUUAUUGAAUCGGACUUGGCCUCUUUUUCGGCAUGGGCAAAGGUUUGGCAAUUCCACCAUUAGCAAAGGUUUAAUCGGUUGACGAUAUCCUUGGCGAAAGGCACCUGGUGAGAGUAGCUGCUGCUGCGCUACCUCCAACUAUGAAGUUCAGCACAUGAACAAUACAGAGUACUUUGUUUCCAAAAACAAUACAGAGAACAAGACCACAAGAAAACAAUUUAAAAGAACUACUUUUAGGCAGCAGCAUCUGGACAACAGGCUUAAAAGCUUCCAGAAAAAUGAUAGCACAGACAUCCGAAACAAUUUUCCUAAUAUUUCUUUAACUUGACCUUUUUGCAGUACAUCUAACAGCAUAUAGGGGAAUGCCUUUUUUAUAUUACAUUUGCACCAAACCAAGCUAUUCUUAAUACUAAUUCCUUUGCAUAGAUACUUUCCAAAGUGCUGAGAAUAGCAAUAGAGAGAAAACGCUGCAGAAGAUAUCACAAUUGAAUUAAUAACCUGGUACUUGUUCAUAGAUUUUCUAGCAUCUUCAAUAAGCUUUGAUUCUUACUCAAGUAGUUUGGUUUGUAGUGUCGUUUUUUUUCUUGACUCUAGUAGUGUAGUUAGCAUGCCUUCCGUUCCUUGCUUGCUUAUGCACUUUUGAAUUAAAGACGACCUUUCAAUUCAUUAUUGACUGGAUAAAGUAGUAUUAGUUAAUAUAGGCUGAUUCAGACAAAUCAAAAAUAAGAGACAGUCUUUUUCGAUACUGUAUGCUGGGACAGACCUGUAGGUGAGCACAAGCACAUCCAGCCUUCCACCUCUUUAUACUUAUGUUUAGCAGUGUACCUGGUCUUACUUCUUUUUCAGUUUACGCUUGUGUCCCAAGAUUGCAAGUUCGAAGAAGAGUAUUGUAUUGACCUGAAUCAAGUUGUUUGCCUACCCGCCGUUAUGUCUUAGCUAGGAAUGAGCUGUGAACAAAAUCGAAAUAGUUGUUACUUGAGUCGAUAAUGACUUUGUGUCGGUUUGCUAUUUUCUAUAAAUUGGACUGGUACCAUGUAUUGUAACAUAAGCUUUUGUAUAAGAGCUGAGAUGUAGUUAAGAUUACACUGGAUCCUCUCUCUGUUUUGUUGCUUCCUUCCAUUAUCUCCAACAACUGGUAUCAACACUAGGAACCUUCACGGUUAGGGUUGAUUUUCUUAGACCACUAUGAACACUUGUAAUUGGUUCUUUCUACUUCAGGCAUGUUUCUCUCUAGUUAGUGGAAGAGUGUACAACAUAGGGAUUGGUAUCAGUCACACAUUUAGGAAAGAAAGUGAAAGGGGAGGGCAAGAGCGGUUCGAAGGUCAAUGAAACGAUAAAAAACCACCAGGUCGAGUUUGCUUCUCCCUUCCUUUUGGUGUUUAGGAUGUGAAGUUUAUAUAAGAAGAGAGGAAAGGGGAAUUGAGCUAAAUGGAUAAUUUCAUCCUGGUGAUGGGCUAUUCCAAUGGGCAUGCAUCUGAGAUAUGGGCUUUGAGCGUAGGAACGCCCACCUUUACAAGAGCUCAGUUCUAAGAUUGUUUGCGCGCAGGCACCACUACUAUUCUGUCUUUUCUUGUUAUGCACCCGGUCCUAGAAAUAUUUUUUUUUCUGAUCGGAGGAAGAGAAAUAAAAACGUCACUUCGCUCGCCUUGGGGGACCUAAUUAGGAGCUGAUUGAUUUCUUUAAUAGAUAUGAAGAUGCCUUGAAUGAACCCAAGCAAGCCGAAAUAGAAUACUAUAAGUAUGAAGUGGACAUCUAUGGUUUAAUUGGAAACAUCUCUUUUCUAUUUAGAUUUUGCCAGUGCCUCCCUUUGUGGCAGAGCGAGCGCCUUGACUAAGAUAGAUUGACUCUUUCAUUCUUUUUUUUAAUUUUAUUCUGGUUCCAAUCAUUUGAGGAAAACCCCCUUUGGCAUCAAUGAAACUCUGUUAUAUAGGAGUUCAAAAACCUCAUUUCGUUUGAGAGAUAGUGGAAUUUCUUCUUUCAACACGUACAUCGACGAGGGUGUCGAUGACUUGAGUGAGGAAUGGUCAUGUGCUAGAGACCGUACCUUUGGAGUAAGACCUCCACAAGGGGGUGUGCAGUUUAAAUGUAAAUGACGAGCAUGGAGAGGCCAAGGUCAUUUGUAAUUAGGUGCGGCUGAUGCAAGAAGACUGGCGAGCUGUCCAUGGUGAGAAAAGUUGUGAUGCUACUGCAGGGGGCAUCCUGGUGUAGUUGAGGGCGCAGAACUUCUGUGCGGGUACAACUGACACUUAAAAGACCUUCCGUGUAGAUGAGUUCUCUUGAGUGAGACUAAUCGAGUUACGAAGAAACCUUUGUGAUGGUGCUGUGCAGUUGGGUUCUCUAUGGAGGAACUUCGUUGUGGGGACCAAGGGGUCUUCUUAAGAAGAGUUGCUUUGAUGAAAAGAGUGUAGCCAUGAUGGCAAGUCAAGGUGGGGCCCUGUGAAGGCAAGCCUUGUGUAUGUUGGCGUGAUGACGAGAGAAAGGAAAUGCCCAAGAACAAUAGCUGUCCGUAGCACACCCUGCAAUGACUUCGACCAGCGGACCAGCCUAUCCAAUACCCUACGCCAUGACCUUAGAAGUUCGUACCCCAUGAUAUUCAAUGACACCCGUAGACAUUUGAUCAUUCAUACCUCAUAGUACGCUUUCUUUCUUUUUUUUGGACUUUGAAUUCCAAGCGAAGGAAGCUCAGUGAAAGAUAGACUGGGAUUUGACAGCAAGAAGAAAGCAAUCAUAGUACGCGGCACACACCGCUGACGAAUGAGAUUGAUGUCCCAAACCAACACAGGUUCAAGACUAAGUGCAGAACCAAGAAUUCCGUGGAUAGAAAAGUGAGUGCUUCCUCAAGCUUCAUGAAGGAAGGGUCCAAGGACCUAAGCGACAACCUCUACGAAAAAGAAAAACCUAUAUAUAGAUAGUGGUAUGUGUUCGCUGACACUAAAUAGACUUGGCUCGGGGCAGAACUGAGUGGCUAGGCUAAGUUCCCUAGUCUUCUAUUGGCCCACCCACCCCUACGACAUGGAGGCGCUUACCCUUCUCCAACAAGCGUUCCACCACGCGGCGAUUGAUUACCGCUUUCCGUCUCAAUCCGUUCUAGACCAAGCCCCUUCUCUGAUCGGGGGAAGGUCAUUCUAAAACAUCAGAUCUCCCAUUGAUGCUGGUCAAAAAUAAGUUUAUCCACCUAGAAUAUAUGAUAGGUACCGAAAGAUUGGAUGUCAUUUCUCAACACUAGGCGGGACGAGCAGCCCUAUACCACGUGUAGCCACACUCUAGUGUCCUUUUCUACUUAGUUGGACAGAUCACUUCAGAAAAUCGUAUAAAAAUCAAGCAAGAAAAUGGAUGCGCUAACGUGCAAUGGCUUUCACGCUAGUUGCUCAAAAAAUCGUAUAAAAAUCAAGCAAGAAAAAGGUUCUGGCAGGCUGCGUGGGACUGUAAAUCCUCUUUCGCUGGCUGGGCCCUUUGGACUCGAAAUCCAAACGGAGUGAGUGGUUCGAUUCCACUCUCAGAACGAGACUGAACGAAAUAAAAUGCAAGUGAAACGAGACGAGAAUCAAAUUGUAGGCUUCUUUCCUAAAAGCGGUGGUUCUCGCCUCCCCGUGCCCAAAGCGGGGUGGGCGACAGCGCUGCGGUUCUUUUCUUUAUCGAUCGGGUAGAUCCAUAUGUUCUGAGGGGGGGACGAGGUGUAGCGCAGUCUGGUCAGCGCAUCUGUUUUGGGUACAGAGGGCCAUAGGUUCGAAUCUUGUCACCUUGAUGUGGUAUUCACACAAUGGGGCCGAAGUGCAAAGCCCCGCAGCCUAUCCGUGGUCGGGAAGGCAGGGGUAUUAAAAGUGAAACUUGGCUUGCGUGUGCAUGCACACAAAGGAGACUGAGUUGGAUUGCAAAGCCUCUCAGACGGAAGGAACCUGUUUUAAAAACCCCUUUCUACAAUCUUGAGAAAUCUCACGCAAGCAACUACACGCCGCAAGUCUUCGGUAUUGUUCGCAAGGAAUUUGAAAAGAUUGACUCUGCUUUUUUUAUUUUCGAGCAUGCCAAGCCUCCAGUAGAGCGGAGUUCUGUGCAUGAAGUAGGCGCAGUUUACAAACUAGUGAAUGGUCAAAUGAAUAGGCUCGUUUCAUCAGGGGUAACCAAGGAGUAAGAAUGAUUUGAUAAAGUAAACAUUCCCUUUGAGUGCGGUUCCUUUAGAACAAGCUCUUCCCUUUUCAGAUUGCUUCUUUGGGCCACUUGAGCAUCGACUGGGCAAGGUUGGAUUCCCUCUACUUCUGGUGGCUACUAUUUCUCAACAAUGUUUUUUCAUUUGAUCCAAUAGCCCUCCGUUAGAUAGGAACAACUUUGCUAAAUACUGAGAACUCUCGAAUAGAAUAUGAGAAGGGAAAGAUCCUUUACAUAAGGAACUAUUGAUCAUAGGCGUACACUCUGAAAAGAAUUGAGUGAAACUCUCUUGUUUCAUCAACUUUGAUAUCAUUAGCUGUCUCUGUAGCUGGCUCUCAUGUCUGGUGUUCCAAGUAAAAACUUUUCAACUAGCUGGGUCACCGCUGUUUUAAACCCUAACUUGGAAUCAGAGCCAUAAACGAGUGAUUCGGUCGGACGGACGAUUGAGUUCUUAAAGCUUGGAUCGGCACUUCUUGUGUUGAAACAAACACGCUGUUGCUAGCGCCCUCAACGCUCUCUUCGAUCCUUCGCAAACAUAGCUCCUUCCACGGGAGAUAACUUUCGAUCACUUUCAUCUCAAUUCGUUUCAUUGGUUGGUCGAGUGGAUGAUUAGACACAGGUGGAGUAUUCAAGUUGUCCCUACUUCAAGUUGUCCCUACUAACUAACAGGUCUAAUUAUCGCUGGCUCACAGGCUCCUUCAAAGCAAACAUUCGCAGCGCCCCUCACAUUCAAGCUCUUGCUUUGUCCUGCGGCCUGCCCUUUAAGCAAAAGCAAGAUCUAGACAAGAGUGAAAAGCAGUCAGAAUAUUAAUAAUCUAAAAUGGCCUUCCUUGGUUGUGUAGCUAAUCCCCCUCCUUGACAAGAACAGAAUUUUGCAUCUUCAAACUGUUUAUGGGUGAUAGCCUCAUUCCCCAUUAACUCACUAGAAAGCCCUUUGAAUAAGCCUCAGGAACACCCAUUCCUUUCGGAUCAGGGGGUGGUUGUUUUAACUACUCGUUCGGGGAACAUUAGACAAAGUUACUUAUUUGAGAAAGUAAAUGAACCUGAAAUAGGACCUAUGUGAUAGUUUGCAGCAUGAGCAUGUAGAUGCUGGUUAUGGUAUCAGAUCUGAGGACCAAGAAUUUCAAAAGGAUAGUAUUAGACUCAAUAAUAAGCUUUCAAAACAUAACUUCUCAUAUUUGGUCUGUGGGCUACCAUGCUUAAGCUUUCUUAUCUUACUCUUUCCACUAACGUUAGGACUUAGGCGAGCUGCUGAAUACAAGACACUUCUUUCUCGGCCGUGCGUGGUCUUCCCUCGGGGAUGGGAGAAUAUAGAAGGUGGGUGGGUGGAUCUCUAUUCUCCAUAAGGAUAGGGUUGAUUUGAUUGGCAUUCACGCCUUUUAGAAAGAGCCACUCAAUGCAAUUCUCUUUUAGGCGAAGAGAGUAUGCCCAACUGGAGUGGUUUCCGCCUAUAUUCCUACUAAUGUAAUCUCCAUUAUAGAUGGACAAAUCUUCUUAUCCGCGGAUCUAUUCCAUGCCGGAAUUCGACCUGCUAUUCAUGUGGGUAUUUCACUUUCCAGAGUAGGAUCAGCGGCUCAAAUGUGCCGCAAUGAAACAUGUAGCUGGCAAAUCCAAAUAGGAACUAGCUCAAUUCGCAGAGUGACAAGCCUAUUAUUCGCCUUUGCUCUCGAUAAAACUAGCCAGAAUCCAUUGUUUUUAUGACGGGAAUUGCUUAAACAAUCCCAAUCAAACCUUCUCCCAGUGGAAGAACAGAUAGCUACUAUAGCUACCGGAACGAUAGGAUAUCUUGAUUCGUUCGAAAUUGGACAGGUCAAGCUAUUUCUGGACUGGAUGAGUUACGUAAACACCUCAAAGAUACUCAUUCCAAGAAAUUCGAUCUUCUAGCCAGCUUCUAGCCAGGUGGAUAAGGAUGGAAUCUGGUAUCCAAGAAGAGGAUGUUGGACAUUCUUCAUCCCGGAGGGCCGGGAAGAGGAGAGAUAGCAUCACUCUGACUUUGCCGGAAGGAGGAAAAUCCAGAGUUGGCUUUGGGAGAAGAGAAGGAAGCUCUCAGGUUUAGUGAUUCAUACCUGUCCUGUCUUUUGUUUCCAGGGUUUCGAUUUCUGGUCCAGAGCUAGUCUACUUAUUUAUUUUAUACGGAAACAGAAUUUUGCAUAUUAUACGGAAUUUGUCAUACCAGGUUUUCCUAGAGUUGAGGAAUUCUAUCCAUUCUAGGAAAAGCACUGGUUUGAGAAACUACACUACAGGAAAGUACUAAGGAAUAGGAAGCUGCUACUUAUACUUCUUAUUCUUGUCCAAAGAUGCCAGGCCGAGACAGAAACCCAACUAGUGAAAUAGAACGGAUCUCUCUAAUAAACUGGGGUUCUUCUCUUCGGGUUGCUGGUAUCCUUAUAUGGAUCCGUCUUGUCUCCUCGGCUCGAUAGGCUAGCAAAGUCAGUUCGUUGGAUUGGUCUGUCCGGUCAGUCAGUCAGGAAAGCACGUCAAGUCAUUUAAUAGCUCUGGUCCGGUUUCUAACUCGGUGAAUUGGUAUGGUCUGGAGGCCCGGCAAUGACAAUAGCAGACAGGUCAGUUGUUCAAGUCCGUCUGGUUGAUAGGUCAGCUGGUAUAGAAUCUUGUCUGGUUUCUGAAGUCGGUAAAGUCCAAUCAGUAGAGUGCCAGUUAAGUUCCUCAAGUAAGGAUCUUUGACUCCUCCAAUUCGGUAGGUAAUCAUAAUAGUCUCGGCUCGGAAUGCGAAGAUGCUGCUAAUCUGUUAAAGGGAUCUAGAUCGCAUUUAUUUGAUAUGCGUCCCUUCUUCAAUCCCGGAUGUGUACCUGAUGCCAGGGAAUAACGUAGUUCUAAAGUAGUGACUCGUGUCUUGGAGGUCGUCCAUCCAAAUGUUCCUCUUUGCCAUUGCCCGCGUCUACUCCUAUAACCGAAUCGAUGGCCUAUAGCGCCAUGCCAUAAUGAAAUUCUUGAUCAUUUCUUUGUUCGUAACAUGGCGUAGUGUAUCACUGGGUGCCACAAUCCCAUUCAAUUCUUGUCCAUUCAAUACCAUGGAUAUAUCGAUUUCUAUUUUCAGAAAGCUCCUAUUUCGAUUGAUAUCUCUAGCAAAUAUAUGCGUAGCGUAUGUCAAGAUAAAGUAAAUCAAUCUGUAUGACGGCAGGGAGCGGAGGCAGCUUCAACUCAAGUGAGGAGCAAGCUUACCUCGGGCAGGUAGAUUGAUCGGCUCCUUCAUAUCUUGGGAUUUCGCUUAGGCCACCCAGGCCAUACCAUAGAAAAAAGAUCUGGUUUCCUUUCCCUCAUCAACCUGCUGUUCUUUUAUUUCACGAAAGAAUCUUUCCGUCCGUAUUGAGCAACUCAAAUUCCUAGAAAGCCGUUGGUGCACCCACCCAGUGAGUAACUACUAAUGCAGUGAGUAACUACUAAUGUUACGAACAAAGAAACUUUCAAAAAGUGGACCCAACAAGCAAAGCAACGGAUUGGGCUGCACUGCCUUUCGGCGUUUUAGUUAGGCGCAUCCUCUUGCGGGAUGAAAAUCUGCCAUAGCACGCUCCGCGCCUUUGAAGGAACAUUUGCUCGAUGAUGGUCCUACCCUACGCGGGCUUACUAACGAUGGCCAAGCACGCAGUCAUUCCUGUUCUAUUUGAUAGGGGAAGCAAGCUAGUCAAAGAAGAAGGAAGCAUGGGUAUAGGUAAGUCUAGACAUAUUUACACGGGCGUAUACUGAAAUAGGCAUAAGGCCGCUAACGCUAAGGAGAUAGCACCGCUUCUUUGUUCGUAACUAGGACAUGUAUUGAUGCUAGAGGCAGACUCCUAGGACUUAUCACUCCUUAGAUGAAGCAAGACAAGAGUGAGUCUGCUAAGGGACAAGUAUGACUAAAAAAAUGAUGGCAGAUUUUUAUGGAAAUGAUUGUAUUUGAGUAUAUUGUCUCAUUGGGUUUGUCAUUAUCGAUAGCUAUUCUUGUCGCCGUUAGGGCUGGCCGGAUGAUCCAUCACAUAAAUGCUAUUAAUGUUGAAACACAAGUAACCGAUAUAUCCAAAGAUGUUCUUAAAGAACAAAUCAUUUAUCAAUUGGAAAUACUCUAUAAAGUCUAUAGAGAUACUACUGAGGGUGUGCAGUUACCGGCAGGAGUCAAUCUCCAAGAAGUAAGCACACAUCUCUUUUUUGUAGACGAGAGAGUGAGCCUUCUAAACAUUAUCUACUGUGAUCUUAUUGCAAAGGGAACUGGAAGUGAAUACUUUGGCCAAGUUAUACAAUUUCUUCUGGGAUAGCUUGUUGUGGGGCUUUCCGAAGGGUCGUUCUAAGAGUGGUCUCUUUUCUUUAAGGUUGCAUAUAUUGUCGGAGAAGGGAGGGAUCCAGGCCAGGUCUAAAAGUGCCGAGUUGGGUUUGGGACAAGAUCAGGAAAUAGUGCAUCUUAUAUAGUGGGUGCCAACUUGAUUGCUGCUGGGAUUGCUUGAUAGGAAACUUUGAUUGAUACGAGUAGAUGUGAAUGAAUUGAAAUAGUCAAUAGUGGUGAUAUGAUCCCGGUAUCUACACUCGGAUCUACUUUUGCUACCGAGACUGCUGCUACUGUAAAAGCAUCAGGAAUGUGUCAAUUCACUGAAUAAAGUGCUCUUUCCAUUUAUUUAUGGAUGAAAUCACAAAAAAGAGAAGGAACCACCGAUUCUGCAUCAAAAACAGGGGUUCUGGAGCCAGUUUCUCAAAUCGUAAGUAGAUCCAAUCCAGGGCAGUUGAUAAGUGAGGUUCUCCGGUCGAAUGCAAAUAAGCCAGAGCAUAUCUCUUGUUUCGAGGAAGAAACAAACAUCCUGGUCUCAAUAGAUCUUGAUUCUAUGCAUGCGUCAGACACAUCACGAGCCAGAACAAACGAGUGCUUUCAACUCACGAGCCGGAGCAGACGAGUGCUUUCAACAAUAAGCAAUACCCGAGCUUCCUUCUACCAACCAGGAUUCCAAUACCAAUUCCAAUCUGGCACAUCACAAGGAAGUAGCACACCAGAAGAACCAAUACGAGAACCCUUCCUUCCAGCCAGAAUCCGUCUUUCUUGUCCUUUGCAUUCGAGGAACGGGAUCUGCCUUGUGGAAACAAAAGCUAUUUGUUCGAGUCAAGCAAGCGGAUAGUCAGCUAAGAAUACUGGAAGAGAACUCUCUAGCCCUGCACUUAAACUAGACUAGAAAUCCGAAAAAACACUAGUUUUGGCCCAUAGCGAAAUAGAGUUUUUCUUCUCCGCGGACUCCCCAUGCUUGGCGCCAUAGGCUUUAGGACUUUUGGCACUAGGGAAUCAUACUUUGAUCAGAUCCGUGGACAGGCUCCCGAGGUCAAAUCGGAUUAUGGACUUUUCCAGCUAAGUGAAAACGCACUUCACUACUAGCAAAGAAGUCAGCUUAGGGCAGGGCCGGUGGUAAUCUCAGAUAGGAACUUGCCGGGAUCCUUCCAUACCUGCCAUCCACCACUACUACUGAUCAUUUCCCAGAACGAGCCAUACCUUUUCCUAGAAUGAGAAUAUGGCUGAGGACAAAUAGCGGUGCCUAGCUUUAGUUUCCACACGACACGAUGGAUCUAUCACUCUCUUUAGCCAGGCCAUUCUCUAGAGGAGAGUUCCGAGAAUGAAUUCCAAUCUGGUACCAAUCGUAGAAAUCGUAUUGUAGAGUUCUUCUCACGCCUAGCACAGCUACAAGCAUUCCUCGAAUGCAGAGACAAGACGGAGGAUAUCUGAUCCCGCGGAACAUCUGCUACCAACUACGGAUUACCUUGUUUCCAUGAAAUCCAUGUUUCUGGCACCUUGCCCCCCUCUACCUACGAAAUUCUGAUUCCUAUGGUUGAAGAAAGUACAGUGUUGUCAAUUCAACCUGAAAAAAGGGGAAUAAGUUGACAAAGUCAGCUUGAAUAUUACGGUAUGGAUCAAAGGAAGCUAUACCCGCCUUGAUUUCUAUCAAACUUAUUAGAUAGUAAAGCAGACAAGUCUGAAAUGGAAUGUUUGAUCGGUAUAUGUAGGGCUCUCAAAAGAGAAUCUAUUUCAGCAUAGUUGAUUUUCAGAAGCCAACUAGAACUACGAAGCUGCCGUAUAGUUGAUUGUUCCCACCAGUUUCAUUCUCAUCUGGUCAGUUUCACGAAUGCAGGGAUUUACUAUGACUCUCAGGUGUAAACCUUGGUCGUAUACAGCGGUGAACUAGCUAAAUAUAGCUAGAGGAGUAAUAUAGCUAAAUAUAGCUAUAGGGCAUUCCACAGAGGUGAAAUUCUCUCGGCAAAGCAGAACAAGAAGCAGCAGAAAGCAAAACAGUAUAAGGGUCGUUCGGAGUUCCAGGCACAAAACAAUUCUACAGAACUGGGUAUACCAAACAGUUGAUCAACAAGGCAAAUAUCCACUAAACCAGCUAAACGGCUCACGAAUUGUUUGGAAUGCGACGGCAAAUGUGAUCUCCCAGCAAUAUCUCGAGUCCAAAACCUCACCCAUCUACAUAUAUCAUCAUCUGCGGCAAGAACAUAGCAACACCAAAAUCCUACCAGCAACUGCUGAAAUGCACCCUCCUCACGACAGCCAACCAUCGAUGGUGUCAGACUAUGAUUCAGUUGCUGUACUACUCCUCUUUGUUCUGUUUCAUGUUUUUGGCGGUUUCGUUCUUGUGUCUGAGUCCGAAGAAGACGGUGGAUGUUGAUCGAGUAGCAAAAUUGUGCUUCCUGUUGCAGGAUUUAUGUAUCGUGCCGUGCGUAGAUACGGACGACAUGGAAAAAAAUCCAGGUUUAUGUAUGACAUGCUCUUUCCUUCCUUCAUUCGGUGACACACAGAGGUGGCAGAGUCUUGUUCCUGGAGUCGCUCACAACUUUUGGGAGCACCGAGAUCCUGAAUAAGAUGCUGCACGAAUUGGCUGAGGUGUUGGGAGCCCCCCAAUAGAGAAGGACGAUGCGGAAAGGGAUGAUGGGAAAGUGACAAGACUGGACUUCGACUCGUUUAAAAAGAGUUGUAGCCAUACGGAAUUCCAAUUGGAAUGGACCCAUCUCAUGAUACAAGUUACCCUGGAUUUCUUUCUAUUCCUAUUUCGCUGGGCAAUUCUAGUUUUUGUUAUGAUGAUCUCAUGGAUAGUAGUAUUGAGUUCUAUAAAUAGAUUGAUAGUAGGUUUUAAGAUAGCUUAGCCCUUGCUAUGAUUCAAUUUGUAUUGGAGAGGAGGGGCGCCAACCCUAUGGGGAAUGUAGCUAUGCUGUACUUCUUCCUACUAGCUAGGGUGCAGCACCUGUUCCUAGCUAUGAUGCUGCUCCUGUCCGCCCCUUGAUUUAUCACCGCUUUGGUCUUUUAUUGGUCAUUGAUUUAUAGACGGGAGGAUAAGUACCCUGGCUCGACCCCAGAUAUCGAUUUAGCAUUCCAUUAUAGGAUCUCCGAAACGGGAAACAAGAAAAGUAAUCGAAAUCGUGUGCCAGCGAGACAUACGAAAUUCACACUUUUUGACUCUCAAUCCACAGGUGGAGAUACCAGGGGUGGGUUUUCAUGGCCUAUAGUCUCCCCUGCCGAUGAAGCAUGAACUACUUGUUGAAAUUGCGGAUCCAAAUCUUGCAUUUCUCCUUUACUCGUCAAAGGCCUCGUAUUGUUAUUCCCAUGAUUCAUGUGGGCUAUCUGCUCUUUAUUGUAGGGUCCUACUCCCACCUAUCCUUAAAAAACACUGUGAGUGGCUCAUACUAAUCAAAUGUACAAGUAACUGACCCUUAUCAAGCUUUCCACACAUAGUGUUUUGAUCUAAGAUUGCAAUUCUUCCAUGUUUCCGCAGUAGCAUAUUGUUCCAUGGAGCUAGGGUCCAAAAUAGGAAUCAACAAGUGUUUCCACGACUCUACCACCCGGCCAAUCCUGUUCCACCGAAUCCCCUCCCUUUUUCAUGGCCACAUAUCUUUAUGGCUAAGGAGUGGGAAAUCUUUCUCCUGCUACACAAAUCAAAUGUUUCAUUUCAUCCGGGAAAAGCCACCUCUUUCUCCACAAACAAUGUCUUUGUCAUUUGAUCCUGUUUUUAUCCGUUAGAUAGGAACCGCUUUGCUAAAUACUGAGAACUCUCGGAUAGAGUAUUAGAAUGAAAAGACCAUUAAUUAUAUAAGGAAGAACCCAGGGUUCUAGCCCAUUCCCAUUCCUAAAUCAAUAAUUCGUAGUGCUUUUGCCUUUCUUGCGUACUCCUGGUGAACCAGUUGCUAGCCAUAUGUUUAGGAGGCUAUUUUCUCCUAUUAAGUAAGAUUCUUAAGCUUAAUAAGCCCAAAGAUCGAAAAGUACGGACCAUUUUGAAAUAAAACCGGACCAUUUGUAAAUCAAAAUAGUCUAGCUACUCUCUUCUCUGUCUCCUUCAGAAAAAGAAAGCUAAGGCAAUUGGUGUUGAAUAAACAAAACCACACCGAACCAGUCAGGAGUUUUCAGAGAUUAUGCCCAGCGUCACAUGACACCACUUCAUUGUAUGCAACACGAGGAACCGAUCAAGAAAGACGAAGCAGACAUGCACAAGUUCAAGAGCGAGAUCAGACAAGCAUGUAUCAGAACACCAACGUGAUCAAGGCUGCAGCUGCUGCUGUGAGGACUAACGUCUCAAGGGAAAUCCGGCAGGAACUGAAGGCCACCGAUCCCGACCGAUCGCGCGGCACGGACGUCGAAAGCUCCUCCAUAGUCGACGGGGGCACUUCACUUGUCCCGGGGCGGCAGCAGCAGGAACAUGCGCAACUGAUUUCAAUUAGUACACACGAAGUAUGAUCAACGAUUCCGCAAAGAUAUUAAUUCCAAUGUAGUGUUCAAACAAUCAAAUGGAUGAGAUGAUCAACAAUUGCUCAGAUUAAAAAACUAGAAGGUACAGUUACAACUUAAUAGAUCUGUGCACUCAGAGUUUGAGAAGACUAUAUAUAUAGCAUCCACAUCACCAGGACACUCGAUACUGUAAUUAGUAGGCAGUUAUAAGUUAAUAGAACAGAUGCUGCGAGUAGAAGAAUUGAAUCAAUAAUCAGUUUUAUCAUACAAUCAAGUUUGAAUCUGUAUUCCUAUAGCCCUAUAGCAGCAUAUAACAAUAAAUGGAGAGAACACCGCAAGUGAAAAUAAAAAAAUUCCGUUUUGUUGUGGGCAGAUGAGCAGGGAUCAUAUGGUGCGAAAGCCGAAAUGGCCAAGAGUCUCUGAAUGGCAUUAGUGGCCGCAGAUUCACUGAAUUACUAGACAAGCAGAAAAACGUUUACCUGGAGACAUUUUAGGCGUGGAAGGUGAGUCAGGUGUGAAAUUCAUCUCAGGAAGCGACUUGAGCCCUAUUUCAAAUGGGGGGAAACAAAUAAAUGAAAAAAUAAAAUUGGUACAUUCAAAAGAACUGCUCAACUGAUCAGUAAUCAUGACUAACCAUAGCAAAAAAGCACAGUAAUAAUAUCCCUAAGAGUAGCAUCCAGAGCUCGCUGGUAAUCCGCGUCUACCACCAACCAUCACCAAUGUAGCUUCACAAGGACUCACAAGAACAAGGAUAGGAGCGCAUAAACUUAUUUUGUAACUUGUUCGGUGAUCAAGAACACGCGCAUAGGGAGCACAAGAAUCGAUUGAAGCAUAUACUCGCCAUCAAGAAGGGACAAGUUUAUCCCCCCGGCCCUACUCCCCAACCAACCCACCGAACUAACUCCAUACAUUCAUCAUCAUACAUUGCGUACCGUGCAUUUUUCCUCUUCCUUCCAUAUUGUGCACGAGGCCUUUGGCUACUCAAUUUAUUUUCUUUUGCUGCUUCUCUAUUCUACAUAGACCCGACAAUCUCCCUCCGACAAAAGCAUACUUUUUGAGUACUCUAAAGAAAUAUAGCCCAUUGGGCCGGCUUUAGGAUUUUGCUUACUCCUACUGUGGAGAAAACCAGAGGAGUCCGACUACCAUUUCUUCGUAUGAAGUACGUACUUGUUCUUCACCGUGCAAGCUCUACAGGUUUCGGAAUCCGAGGCCUUCAAGUUCAACCGUAGACGUAGAAGCAAACCGGUGCUUAAGCAUCGAGCGAAUGAGAGACGAGUGAGAAGCCUUUAGCUCCUAGAAUGCCUUCUUCAACUUUGCUAUACGCAAUUCGUGCGCCAAAUAGAAUUGCUAGACUACGUCGAGUUGUGACCACUCAUGCCUCUAAAGAGCGAGGCAAAGGGUAACACUAGGGCGGAGCUCCACCUUUUGUUCUUCCAGCUCGGACUCCUAAACUAGAAACUAUAUAAGAGGCACGAGAUGAUCAGGUGUGUGCACUAAAGCUCGACAUGAUGAAAGCUUAUGAGAACUUCACUGCUAUAGCUGAUACGGGAUCUAAUGACUUAUAUCUUAAAAUAGGGUUUUGUGACUACCAAAAGUUUCUCUUUUCAUGACACAGGGGGGGUCUCUGUGGCCCUAGUUUCUUUGGCCCAUUUGAAAUGAGCUAUGAAUAGGUCCUACUUCAGACAAUCCUUCGUUGUCCCUUCAGAGGAGAUGAGUGGGAUGACGAAUGAGUUCUUUAAACAUCUCUAUACUGCUGAAGGUACUGAAAGAAUGGAGGAUGUUCGUUCUGUCGACAGUUCCUCGGAAAGUAUCUCAGGCAAUGAAUGAGCAAUUGACUGCGCCCUUUACUGGUUCUGAAGUGUGACCUUUUUAAGAUGUACCCUGAAAGGCCCCUGGCCUGGACGGCUAUCGAGCCCACUUUUUUUCAGCGAAGGUGGGAUUUCUAUGGUGAUGAGGUUAGUGACUUCAGUUACCUUCUCGGUUCUUUUCAAUGGGGAGCGUCUUGAGGAAUUCAAACCUUCUCAGGGACUACGCCAGGGAGAUCCAAUCUCUCUGUACUUAUUCUUGUUAGCAGCAAUUUAGGUAUUCGAAAUAGCGAAAUACAUAAAUUAUCUAUCUCAAGUACGUCUCGUACUUAUCUUGAGCCAUCAGUCAGAUUGAAUGCAGCGCCCUGCUGGCAGCUCCUGACCUCUGUUCCUAUGGGGGAAAGAAGGUGUGGCUUUGGACCCCAAACUCUUCCAUGAUGCCCUUCUUCUUAUAGCGUGGGUAAGUGAUCAAUACAGACAAAAAUCACACCCAUUGGAUCCAUCCUGAUAUGAUUGGGUGAUUUGCACGUUCCCUUAAGAACAAGCACACACACACUAAAUCCUGAAAAGAAAGAUAGAUGCUCAUCUUCACACUGAUAGCAGCAGGCUCACUACGUAUGUUGUCCAACCCACCUCGUAAGACAUCUUUCCUCGGAUAGCCAAGCGAAAGAGGAGGUCUCAAGCAUGCAAAAACACAUGUAUGAGCAGGAAAAGAUGUGCAAUCAAGCUCAGAGACUGCAGAUAACGGAUCUCUCAGGCACCGGUUUCCCUCAGUUCAGGAAGGGAAGCGAGCUUUCAAGGGUCCAAGGAUAAAAAAGGUAAUUAAUAUGUCUCCGACCGAAGUGAUAGAUAAAGGCUUUACCCAUUGGCAAGGAACGCUUGGAGGAGUGAAACAACGAUUCCGCCUAGCAUAGGACACGUAUAUUUGAUCCAAUCUAGCAAGCGUAGCCAGCCCCACCCACGGGUGAAAUUGUACAACUCCCUAUCUUGUUGAAAGCCCCUUUGCUUACGGAAGAGAAGAGUUGGAUGUCGUGGUGGGAAAGCUCCCGUUUCAACUUUGCUUCUUGUAAUCUUCGGUAUAAAUAGUUCACUUGCAGGAUCUAAUCUCAUUCUAUGGAACAACUUUCAUUUCUAUCUUUUGGCUUAAAGUGGUGAACAAAUCCUUUCUCUUCACUUUUUGUGCUCCGAUGGCUCCGGUCAAGAUGUGACUCAUCCUGUAUAUACAUAAUUAGGAGACCUCUCAUGAACUUGUUAAAGAAAGGAGUACCAUUUGUGUGGACAAGCCAAAGCAAUCCUUUGAUGUUCUCAAGCAAGCUUUAAUUGAGGCCCCUGUGUUGGUUCUCCCUGAUUUUAGUAAAAGAUUUGUGCUAGAGACAGAUGCCUGUGGGCAUUGGAGCUGUGAUAAGGGGUAGAAGUAUUCGUGUGGGGUGGGUUUCGAAGGGAAGGUUGCACAAUAGAUCGGAGAUCCUUUGAGAAAGACUGAAAUGACUAUACUUAUAGAAUGGUCCAUAUCGAACAGAUACGAUACUGGUUUACACAGAGAAUAUCGCCUAGCUCUAAAACGGCAACACCUGAGUGCAACUUAGAGUAAGAAAGAACGACCUUCUGCUACCUUUUUACCGGGGCAUUGUUUUAACAACUUUAGCUGAUUGAUCUACGAAUGGAGGGAUUCAAGCUUAUUUUUGUUAACCGAGAUGCAAACGACUAACAAACUGGAUUCGAAGCCACCUGUCGUAAUAUUACCUGCGGGUUCUUUCUGUGGAGCCUUCAAAUGCAAUAGCUAGCUGCCCAACGGCCAAUGCCACAGGCAAAUCUCCAUUUUCCAGCUUAUACAACUCUUUGGGGUCCAAAGAUACUCGCCAUUGCAACUUAAUAAAUAGGACCGGUGGGAUCGCCUUCAACAGAUAUAUCGGUUUCACUGCUUUCGUACCCUUUGUUUUGGUCAUGUGGAUGACCCGCAAACCGUAGAUAAGAUGGAUACCCACGUACUGCCUUCAAUGAAGAGAGUUUUACCAAGGACCCUUAGACAGAUAGGGGGGACAGACAAGAGGUAUGCAACCUGCUGAAUAUUGUCACCGAAUCGCUCACUGACAAAUACUUGGGGCUCCCCUCCCUGGUAGGAGUGGAUAGGAGCGACUGCUUCCAACACUUAAUUGAGAGAGUUUGCACUCGGAUUAAUGGCUGCAAAGAGGAAGGGCUAAUUGGCUCCGCCAUGGAGACCGAAAUACGAGCUUCUUUCAUCACAUCAUUUUGCAACGGAGAAAAAAGAAGAACAUAAUAAAGUUUCUGAAUGACUCAAACGGCAACAGGAUCAAAGGUAAUGACCCGUUAGCAUCUCUGAUACAGGGUUACUUUGAGGGACUGUUCACCUCAGAAGUCCUAGCUCCCGACCCUGGGCUACUGGGGAAAGUAAACAGGCGAGUAACUGAAGAAAUGAACGCAAGCCUCUUGGCUCCGUUCACGGCAGAUGAAGUAAAGGCAGCACUCUGAAUUCAAUCGAGAGUUAGGUACAGUAAUCUUCAGAUAUGACAAUACCUCCCCCAAAGCAUUGUCAAGUGUUGGAAUUAGGGCACCAACCACGAAUAGGAGCUGUAUAGAACUCCGGAAAGAGACCUUUGAUGAAGUCGACAUCCUCCCAAGUGGCAUUUGCUUGAUCCAAACUAGCCCACUUCCUUGGUUGCUGAAAAACCAUGCAACGCAAGUAAUUUACCACACACUGAUUCACACGUUCUGUCUGGCCAUCUGAUUGUGGGUGAUAGGCAGAGCUAAACCUCAAUUUCAGUUGCAGUGCUUUGAAGAAGGCCUGCCACAUGUUACUUGUGAAUAUCCAGUUUCUAUCAGAGACUAUUGACUUUGGCAAUCCAUUCCACUUAAAAACAUUAUCCAUGAAAGCAUGAGAGACUGAUUGUACUGUAUAAGGGUGAGCAAGGGGAAUGAAAUGAGAAUAUUUAGUGAACCUGUCCACCACCAACAAUAUGACUUCUCUGCCCAAUGAUUUGGGAAGACCCUCAAAGAAAUCCAGGGAGAUGUCAGUCCAAGCAGAAGUAGGUAAUGGCAGUGGAUCUAGGAGACCAGGGUAGUGGCAAUGCUCUCCCUUGACUCUUUGGCAAACUGCACACUCAUGUAGAAAAGUUUCAAUCUCCUGGCCUGGCGCCAAUCAAAUAGCUUUUUUACCCUUUGAUAAGUAGCCACAAUGCCUAAAUGGCCUCCUAUGAGAGAGUUGUGAAGUGAAUCAAUGAUUUGGUGUUUAAGAACAACAUCUGAUCCCACAUAUAUUCUUCCUUUAUAUCUCAAAAUGCCAGAAUGAAGAGUCUAAGGGGGUGCUGCAUUGGCUGAUACAGUGAGCUUCUCAAGCAGAGAUUUGCAGUGAUCAUCAUUAGUGUAGCUGGUUUCUACAGUUGAAGCCCAAGUAGGAGUAACUGCAGUGACUGCCAUCAUAAGAGAAUCUCUUCUGCUCAAAGCAUCUGCAACCUUGUUUUCUUUUUUUUGUAUUCAAUCUUGUAAUUGAAUUCAAGCAAUUUUCACAUAAGCUUGUGCUGGAUGCCCUUAGAGACUUUUUGUUCUGUGAUGUAUUUAAGGCUCUGUUGAUCAGUUUUGAUCAAUAAAAGAAUUGGGAACCAAGAAAGUAGUGGCGCCAUCUCUUCAAGGAUUCACAAAUAGCUAAAGCUUCUCCUUAUCAUAAGUUGACAUAGCUGCAUUUCUGGGUCCAAGGGUUUUACUGAAGUAAGCAAUUGGUCUGCCUUGUUGCAUGAGGACAGAACCAAUACCUUGACCUCAUGCAUCUGUUUAAAAAGUAAAUGGUAGGGUCAAAUCAGGCAAAGCCAUAACAGGAGCAGUGACCAGACAAUUCUUCAAUGUUGUGAAGGCCUCAAUUUGAGCAUCUGACCACUGGAAUGAUUCUUUUUUUAGACAGUCAUGAAGUGGCCUAGAAUUUAUCCCAUAAUUCUUGACAAAUCUUCUUUUUCUACAGCCAUACCAAGAAAACUCCUCAACUGAGUGAUAGUCUUAGGUGCUGGCCAUUCUUUGAUGGCAACUAUUUUGUGGGGUUCUGUAGAUAGACCCUAUCCUUAGAUAACAUGCCCUAAAUACUCCACUUGAGGGACAGGAAAACUGCAUUUGCUAAUCUUAGCAUAUAGUUUUUAUGACCUUAGAAUGUCCAGGACUAACUUGAGAUGCUUGAGAUGAGCUUGUUUGGUCUUGCUAUAUAUCAGAAUAUCAUCAAAGAAUACCAAAAGGUAUUUCCGGAGCAAAAACAUGAUUCAUUAAAGAUUGGAAGGUAGCAGGUGCAUUAGUGAGUCCAAAUGGCAUCACUAAGUAUUCAUAAUGACAAAAAUAUGUCCUAAAAUUUUGGAAUGUCUUCUCUUCUCAUUCUUAUCUAAUGAUAACCUGAUCUCAAAUCAAGUUUGGAAAACAGUUGUGCACCAUGUAGCUCAUCUAAUAGAUCCUCAAUGACAGGAAUAUUGAAUUGAUUUUCUGCACUUAACCCGAAAGCAAGUUUGAAAACAAGACCUGCUCUGUGAAGUGAUGGAAGUAGUGAAGGUUUAGGCUUCGGAUCUGUGAAGUUCAGGUUUUGGAGUAGAGGUCAGAGGCUAGUGCGGGUAGCCCUGUCGGAAACUAGAAAGAAGAGGCUGAUGCACCUGCCCGGUGGUGGGUGGAUUCAGCUCGAUCAACUGGGAUAGGAGUUUUUUCUCUAUCUUGCUCCAUGGUGUUCAAGCAGUGCGUCUAGAAAGCUGUGAUUCAUGGGAGGGAGCAGCUUCAAUAGCUUUGGCUGUGAAAACUCUUGGUCUUGGAGCAUCAGUGUCAUCAGUUCACCCAAGAUCAGCAGGACAAAUAACUACUAGGUUUGUGCCAGAAAAGCAUCUUGCGUGACGGGGAAAGAGUGGAAAAAGAAAGAGAUUCAUCAGCUAUGGAAUCUGACAGGUAUCGGUAUUGAACAGAGGGGGCUGUUCACAAAGCAUCCCAUGGAUGGUAAUGGUGCUUCCCCAGCUGUUGUUCCUACUCCUUUGGCUGGUGCCAAAUCAGGUGACUUUGAAGUUGAAGCUUGCUCGCAGAAUGAUGUAACCAUGCUGGUAGUACUAUGAUUGCCUUAGAGCGCAGAUGUCUCUGUCCCUAGGAACGUGAUGCUUAGGUGCGAGGUGAAACACAAGCAGGAGAUCGAGAAAAGAAAUCAUACGGAUUGCAACCUACAGAUGAAGAAUCUGCUUCAUUGUUCCCACCAUCUAUAUCAGAUGUUUAAUAAGAAUAGGAAUCGAAUAAGCUGCUGAUUGACUGAGGAAGCAUUUGAAAAGAAAGGAAGGGUGAUGCUUGUUAAACAAAGCUGCGUGUGGGGCCGCCACGUAUAGCUGUAGUUUCUACUGUAGCAUCGGUUAUUUUCAUUAUUGCUGUAGUAGCAUCGGUUAUUGCUCAGGUUACGAAUGACCCAAUCUAUCUAUGGCAACCACCCCUACUUUUAGUAGAUGGAGAUGCGCACCUAGAAAAGAUGGAUGAAAGAGAACCUGCCCUUCUGACAUCUUCUCUUGUCUGUCCUUUACGCAAAGCGAUCUAUGGUCUCAACAAGCCCCGAUAGCGUCGGUUUUUGAAGUUCAGCACAGUGGUUAUGUUAUCCAGGCAGGGUUUGCUCGGAGUGAUCAUGAUUCGGCCAUGUUCGUAUUAGUUUAUCCUCGAGGACGUGCUAUUCUGUUGUUGUAUGUUGAUGAUAUCAAACUGACUGGUGAUUACUCCGUUACCAUAUCGCUGAUCAAGUGUCGCCUUCAUCAAUUAUUUGCUAUGAAGGCGCUGACGCACCCUAAGCCUUUUCUUGGCUUGGAGGUCGCACAUUCUCCUCGUGGAUAUUUGGUAUCUCAGAUCAAAUAAUGUCAUGACUUGAUCACUCGAGCUCAACUCAAUGAUGAGAAGACUGUUGACACUCCCUUGGAGCUUUACGUUAAACUCCGUCCGACUGAUGGCUCACCCUUAUCUGAUCCGACGCAGUACAAACAGUAGGUCAGCAGUUUGGUUUAUCUGACAAUCUCUUGCCCAGAUGGCUUUUCCUAAGAAAGUCAGCCUUUCAUGGCUGCCCCCCGGUCAGUUCACUUUGCAGCAGUUCAUCAGAUUCUUAGAUAUAUUCGAGGUACCUUUUCUCGAGCCUUCCUUUUUUCCGUCAUCGUCUUCUUUAGAGUUGCGUGCAACUACUGAUGCCGAUUGGGCCUUCAGAUAGGUGCUCAACUACAGGCUUAUCUAUUUUAUGGGGAGAUGAGACACUAUCUUGGAUGAGAUAAAAGCAAUAGACAGUUGCUCCUUCCACUGCCGGAGCGGAGUACCGUGCCAUGGCACACUACUAGAUAGAUUGUAUGGCUCCGUUGGUGACUUUCUAAUCGCGGGUUUCAUUUGAAAAACCCCAACGCCAUUCAUCUUGCGUCAAAUCCGGUCUUUCAUGCAAGAGUUUCAUUUUUGGCCGCUACUACGUUCGUCGAAAACUUCUUGAUGGCACCAUCAUCUCAUUACCUUAUUUUUUCCCUUCGACUUCGGCUAUGAACAAUGCCCCACCUAGCUGAAUAGGCGUAACAAAGCUACCUAAAAAAAGGCAAGGUGCACCUUAGAUUGAAAUCGACAAAUUGCAUUCUGCCAGAUGGAUUCUUUAGAAAGAUUCCCGGAUAAAGUUCAGUAGAAUAUUUAGUUAGAAUCUAAAUAAAGGCGCAUACGUGGGCGGGCAGGGGGCCCCACUACUUCUUCAUUCAGGGGGGGCUAGCCUCAUGACUUCCCACUGGGCGAGGGGUGCACCUAACCCACCUUCUCACUCAUCAAUUACGGUGUUCAGCUGACUUGCACAGAAAGACCCCUAUUGUUUAGUAAUUUGGCGCCCCAUCUUUUGAUUGACUGUUGUCAACUAAUCUUUUCAAUGUUCAAUUCUACUCUAUGUUAGAACAUUUCUGUGAAUGCUAUUUCGAGCUAAGUGGUCCUAUUCUCUGUCCCGUGCUAGGAAGCAUUACUCCUAUUUUCAUUCCAAAUUCUUCAAUAAGACCGAUACGAUUGAUUGGUCUGUGCGUUUCUCUUAUUACUUUUUUGUAUCCCCCUAUUCCUCGGAUACAAUUCGAUCCUUCUACGGCCAAAUAUCAAUUUGUGGAAAGCCUUCGAUGGCUUCCUUAUGAAAACAUCCAUUUGUAUAUGGGUAUAGACGGUCUUUCAUUAUUCUUCAUGAUAUUGACCACAUUUCUGAUCCCUAUUUGCAUUUCAGUGGGUUGGUCUGGUAUGAGAAGUUUUGGGAAAGAGUAUAUUACAGCAUUUCUAAUUCGUGAAUUUCUAAUGAUCGCUGUGUCCUGCAUGCUGGAUCCUCUACUAUUCUAUGUUCUUUCUGAAAGCGUGCCAAUCCCUAUGUUGUGCGGAGCUGAGCAUCUUCUAUUCGCUGGGAUCAAGCUUUUCCUCUGCAGGGGCCUUGUGCAGUAAACCCCCUACGGGCGGUCCCCCGUCGUCGUAAAGUAGUAAAGGUCCCCGCGAAGCUUUCAGGAAGAGGGGUAGUCUUGUGCGUAAGCAUAGCAUUUCUGGUCGAACCACCGAACCACACAUCUUUUUUGGUGGGAGGGUACUUCGAGUAGUGGGUACCUCGUAGGACCUCGACCCGCCUACUCAGGUCUUGUAUGGAUAUGCAGGAAGGGGUGCUCCUAGGUGUGUGUUUGUUCGCGAGAAUGAAUUCCUCGUCAAGUCAGGGGGGUGUGGACACACUUGCGCGAAUUCGGGUAACGGCUACAAGGGAUAAAAAUAAAGGAAACUGUACCCGACCAGGGAUGGACGUAAACUCGUAAGCUACCGAGGGUAGGGAUAAUCGUCCAGGUCUUAUUAAAAAAAAGCCGCCCCGCCACUGCAGGCAGGUUAGUUCCUCUGUCAUUGCCGGAGAGUUCUUGGCGAAGAGACCUUAGGAUAAGUUGCUAAAACAAACGGAGGGGAGGAUCGACCCGUUCAGUAGAAUUCCGAAGAAAGACUGUUGGCAGCAGGUGGAGACAUUUCUUUGGCCCCCUUCCAAAUAAAUGCGGGCAGGGUAGAGCUCGGCAGAGGGUUCGAGAAUAGGGUAGGGUUUUUUACGGUCGGGUCCCCUACCACUAGUCCGGCUAGCCUUCUUUCGGGCAGGAAGCAAGCCUAAACGACGGGCGAGCAUCUCCCGCUACGCAAGCAGCAUUGUCUGCCACCACCCGAGAAGCAAAAGACUCGAGAGUCAAGGCGGAAAAGACAAGCAUAGUGGUCUAAUGACAAGGCCCGACGACGGAAGCUCGGGACGGAGCCGUAUGAUGCGGAAGUCUCACGUACGGUUCCCUGAGAAGGGAGUGGCUACCCACUGGAGCUUCGACCAACUACCACUGGUCAAUUCCACUUUGGGGCCACCCCUGACUCUACCAUCAUUAUAGGGGUAUGGGGUUCGAGACAAAGAAAGAUCAAGGCAGCAUAUCAGUUUUUCCUAUAUACUUUACUUGGAUCCGUUUUUAUGCUAUUAGCUAUUCUGUUGAUUCUUCUCCAAACAGGAACCACCGAUUUACAAAUUUUAUUAACCACUAAAUUUAGUGAGCGGUGCCAAAUCCUUCUAUGGAUUGCUUUUUUCGCCUCUUUUGCCGUCAAAGUGCCUAUGGUACCAGUUCAUAUUUGGUUACCCGAAGCCCAUGUAGAGGCAGCUACGGCUGGAUCCGUCAUCUUGGCUGGAAUUCUUUUAAAAUUGGGAACCUACGGGUUUUUAAGAUUUUUCAUACCCAUGUUUCCCGAGGCGACACUUUGUUUCACUCCUUUCAUUUAUACUCUAAGCGCGAUUGCUAUAAUAUAUACUUCCUUGACCACUUUAAGACAGAUCGAUCUUAAGAAGAUCAUUGCCUACUCCUCAGUAGCCCAUAUGAAUUUGGUGACUAUUGGUAUGUUUAGUCGGGCGGCGGCCGUUAGGUCACUAUUUUGAGUUAUGGACACACAAGCAAGGCCAAAACAUGUGUGCUGGGCGUGCGACCCAUCAACCUACUAGCAAUAGGGGAAAAAACUUAGCAUGUCGCAACAAAAGUGUCGAUUCGAGGCGUCAGCAAAACACCGCCGUCUGUUCCUAAAACAAAACCCCUUAGCGCCCCGGGACAGGAGUGGGGGACGGCCCUACGCAGACAGCAGCAGCACCGGCUCUACGAAGUCCGAAUCGAAUCUUUCGGUUGGCUUUCCCGUGAAUAAGAAUUGUUGGGCGCGGCGAAGCGAGCGCUUCUAGCUGUUUCGCUUGCUUCUUUCUUAUUGUGGUGGCUAUUAUGGCGUGGCUGAAAUGAACGAAAAGCGAGAUGAUUCAAAUCGAUUGAUAGAUGGCCUGAUCUGUUCUGAUAGAUCGAAAGGUUUUCUAUCAAUAAUAAGGGUUGACCUCUUUCUAUCUAUUGAUGAUACAAGAUAUCUAUCUAUUCCGGAUCCAUCAGAAAGAAAUCGAUAUGUAUCUUAUUUUUUCUACAUCGUAUGUAGAGCGCCCAAGCGUUUGGCCAGCUCAGUUCUAUUAUCCAUCGGUCCAAUGCACUGGCUCAUCUCAUGGAGGGAAAAAGCAAAUGUAGUUAGUUGUCUUGUUGUUGUUCGCCGCCUCGACACAUUCCCCGGCAUCGUCCCACACAGAAAGAAAGAGCGUGGAGCCCCGGCCCGACCUGUAAGUCCGCUAACGUAAAGCAAGGAGUUGAGCCUGAACUGGCAAACCGAAGUCACUUUCGUAACCAUACUUCCUACAGCUAACACGUGUCCAGUCCAGCGGGAACGCGAAGCGCAAACGAACAUGAGCUGCUAUACCGAAUCCCCCGCUGGCCAUCGGGGACCUAGUGGUAAGGCCAUGAUCCGCAGGGGAAGGGAUCACUCAUUCUUCUAUUGGGGACAGGUGCACGAACUACAACUCCAAACGUCAGACAUCCGCCGCCUAUACCUACCGUUUAGGUGGCACUAGCGAGAUCCAGCUAAGGUAAGGAACUUCGUGUCGCGGCUGCUCCACUCCGCUGCGGUCUUUUGAACUGAACUUCGUUGCCUUCCCGCGCGCGAAACGAAUGGGCGCUGUGUCGUNNNNNNNNNNNNNNNNNNNNNNNNNNNNNNNNNNNNNNNNNNNNNNNNNNNNNNNNNNNNNNNNNNNNNNNNNNNNNNNNNNNNNNNNNNNNNNNNNNNNNNNNNNNNNNNNNNNNNNNNNNNNNNNNNNNNNNNNNNNNNNNNNNNNNNNNNNNNNNNNNNNNNNNNNNNNNNNNNNNNNNNNNNNNNNNNNNNNNNNNNNNNNNNNNNNNNNNNNNNNNNNNNNNNNNNNNNNNNNNNNNNNNNNNNNNNNNNNNNNNNNNNNNNNNNNNNNNNNNNNNNNNNNNNNNNNNNNGGCAGAGAGAGACCAGAAGAAUGAUUCAUUUGGAUCGACGAGCCAUUUCGCGAAUCAAUAGAAUGUCUCUCUAUCCAUAUCUAUUCUAUCUUUAUAUGACGGGCCAUAAAAAAGAAGUAUUUUUUAUGGCAUGCGGGAAACACCUUGUCCGAGUCAGGUGAUGCUAAAGGAUGGAUUAAAAAACUCAUGGAUGCUAUCUCUGUUAUUGCUGCUUAAUGCCCUAUUUAUACCGAUCUAGCUUAUAGCUGGGAUUUCUAGAAAGAUAAGUUGAUGCAGCCCUCAGGGAUGGAGUGCCUAAACUAACCUUCCUGAACAGAAGUAGCAGAGGUAGAAGAUAUGUAAAUCGUACCAUCAAGGGGAAAUGCAGUAUGAUUAUGCUUGGGCCAGGUUAGCUGAUCAAGGGAAUAUUCCUAUCGGAAGAACAAUCAGAAAAUAAGGAGAUAGUCAGUUGGCACUUUUCACACAAGAACCGCUUUUCGUAUUAAGCACGGGAGUCGUAAGGAAAGACCUCUGCGUAGCUAUCAGAACGAAUUAAUGAACAAAAUAAACGAAUUCCGGUGAAACCAAGGCGAAUUUCUGAGCCAGCAGUGAGAAAAAGAUGCCAAGUAUUGAGAUGCAACAUUAUGAAUGGUGCGAUCCGAAGUCUUAUUAUUUACUCAAAAUUGACUCAAAUGGUUGACUGAACUUCACAGAGGACUAAAGCUGGGAACUUAAACUAAUGGUUUUGCCUUUCCACUUCCCAAUUGACUCUCAUAAAAGGCUAGGCUACCUCUUCACAUCGCACCUGAUCCCGAAUCAUGUGCUCUGUUCAGGGGAUCAAUAGUGGCUAUUAAGCUUUUCCCUUUCUAUAUAUUCUUGAGAAUAAGUAAAUACCAUCCUUUUUCCUAUCAGCAUCUCUCUAUCUGACAGUAAAUAUUGCUUUCAAUCGAUCAGGCACUAGGUUAUUAAAGUAUGGAUAUGCCAUAUAAUAAGGGAAAAGGCCUCAAGUUUUUUUUAGCGCAAAAGAAAAGCCGAUUCCAAAUUUUCUAUUUCCCGGCAAGUCUAUGAGAGUCCUAUUACGGAUCCUCUGAUCUUUAGCUUGAAUGGUCAUGUUUUUAUAUAAUUAGGUCUUUCUUCUGACCUCUUCUAUUACGGUACGGAAAAAUCAAACCUAUCACUCUCAAAGAAUGGGUAAAAGGAAUUCAACCUAGGGGAGCCUACACUCUCUAACUACCUAUACUACACCCCCAUUGAUUGGAAACCCUCGGGGAAAAUGAUCCCAUAAACAAAGGAAUUAUACAGUACGAAAUAGCAAAAAAACAGACUAAUUCUAUUCUAAAAAAUCGAUAAUAGAUAUUUUAUUCUGCUUAAAUUGUCCCGACAAGGAGAGAUAUUCAAUAUUUGAAUCAGAUUGGAUUUCGUAGUAUACCAAUGUGAGCCAAACUAUUACUAUUUCAUCUAACUUGAAUAACCAAGGACUGAAUUUGACUAUGGAUUCUGAUAACUCGAGAAGUUUUUAUUUGGUUAUGAUCCAAAAAGAAAAAAGAAAGGUUUAACAAGCCUAAAGUAACCAUACGUUCUGUUUGCAUAACGUGUAUACGCCACACCAUACAAUCGAAAUAGAAACAUGGGACGAUUCCAGAAUUUUGAAUAGAUCCGUGGGGAUGAGAGAAGUUGUUGUUGAGAAAUAUGAAAUUGGAAAGGAAGUCAAACUCCCUAUGGAACCUGUGAUCGGUUGUACCUGUACUUUAGUGAUACAAAAACUCGCUAUUCACUCAGUUUCUGGUCAAUAAUAAGAUUAUGUAGGAGAGAUCGCCGAGUGGUUCAAGGCGUAGCAUUGGAACUGCUAUGUAGGCUUUUGUUUACCGAGGGUUCGAAUCCCUCUCUUUCCGUUUCUGUUAAUUCACCAACGUUACCGACCACAAUGAAAUUGCUAGUAAGAGGAAAAUCCGUCGACUUCCUAAAUCGUGAGGGUCAAGUCCCUCUAUCCCCAAUAAAAAGCCCAUUUUACUUCCUAACUAUUGUACCAACCUCUAUUUUUCAUUAAUGGUUCAAACAAGAUUCACUAUCUUUCUUAUUCUACUCUUUCACAAACGGAUCCGAACUGACUUCUUUGGAUCUUAUCCCAUUCAUACAAAUGAACAUAUUAUAGUAUAGGCAAGUAAUCCCUAUUAUUAAGUAAGUCAUUCACAAUCCAUAUCAUUAUCCUGAUAUUUACUAAGUCCAAUUUGAGAAUACUUUUUUCUUUUUGAGUCCCUUUAAUUGACAUAGAUACAAGUACUCUACUAGGAUGAUGCACAAUAAAUAGUCAGGAUAGCUCAGUUGGUAGAGCAGAGGAUUGAAAAUCCUCGUGUCACCAGUUCAAAUCUGGUUCCUGGCACAGAACGAACAAUGAAUGCCUUUUUGGGAAAGAAAAGGGCCACAUAUUUUUUAUAGGGAAAAGCUUUUUUAAGGGGAAGAAUCAUCAACAAAAAAUCCAGGAAAGAACAGUGAAGGAAAAACGUGAAAAAACAAGUGUUUUCCCAGAACGGAAUAGCGGAAAUUCCAUAUGUUGAUCACCAAUGUUGCAUGUCUUUCCUUAAGCUAGGGUACUUUGAGUUAGAAGGCCUACUUUAUUCGUCCUUUUAAAGCCUACCUAUUCGUCUAGCUAUUUCCAAUUCUAAUAAAUAACCCGAUCAUAUCAUAUCUUGGAAAACCCUAAGACUACCCAAGGCUGUACCCUACAGUGUUACCUAUAGUCUAUACUUGUGUAUACGUUGCCUUCUGGGGUGGCAAGCUAGAACCAAGUUUUCUAGGUAUCAAUUCCAAUUUAAGUCAAUGAUCCUCAUUUUCUCCAACAUUAAGAAGAUUAUUGGUAAGGUGACCAACCAUCACGCAGGAUUCCGGGUCGGAGUAGCACCUCUUGCCUGAUAUAUACAGGUCGUUACUGGCGAUUCGUUUGUGCCCUAUGGUGUUCAAUUGCCCGUUUGUUCCCUCCCCCUCGGGACGGGUCAACCUACUUUGCCUGCUCAGGCGCUCCAAAAUGCUCUGACUAGACCGCCGACACCCAUGAUUUGUCCAUCAUUCAAAAGGUAGGAGGAAUCAUAGAUCCUCUGUGCACUUUCGCCUAGAGUUAGUUUUAUUUUUCACUACUGUCUGAGUGGUGGCUAAACCCUGAAACUUUUCCUUGAAAUGAAAUAAAGAUCUAACUUUAUUCCAGUAGUGGUUUCUGCAAAUGUAGAUAAUCUUGUUGAUUAACACCCACUUUCCAUACCCUGCAAUUCAGAGGCCAUCACCUCUGGUCUUUUAGUAACAUAUCAGUAAACAAGGCUCUCCUCGUGUAGCUUUUUGUUCUCGAGGAAGAAAAUCUCAUUGAUUACUUAGAAUGCCGGAUGAAGCAAGUUACAGCAUUGGUUCUUUCGUGAUUCACGUAUAUUGGAAAUCUCUUUCUUUAGGAAAUGGGAUGGCAUUCAAUUCUAACUUAGGGAUUCUCUUCUUCCUGAACAUUCAUGAAAAGAAGGACUCUGGCUUUAAUGCUAAAGUUUAGUACUGGGCCGAGCGUACUUACCUACUUAGACAAGAGGGAUACUUAUAGAUCUCUAUGAGCGUAAGGCAAAGUGGGCAAGACUACUUCCACAACUACAUUUUCGCUUAAGCAGGACCUGUGAGACCUCGAAGCAACCGUCUACUACUAGUUAUAUAUGCUAUUUCUAAUUGAAUAGAAUGGAUGCUUCAUAGCGGUUCUGCGACAGGCAGGGCAGCCGGGUGAACAUAGGCAGCUGUUCCUAUAGAACACAAGUCUUUCUCUAAAGCACGACCUUCCGAUUGGACUACGUAUGGUCUCUAUCCUUUUUAUUCCUAAAAUGGGUCCUCGAUCAAAAUGAUCUGGUGUCUAUGUCCAUGCCUGAGGUUGGUAAACCCUAUAUCUAUUGCGGGGUGGUUUGAGGAAGGGACAGCUUGUAACCCACGACUUACUACUACGAAGAUUCUGGCGGAGAGCUUUUCACAUAUAGAUAGGUCGGGAUGAGGAAGCUCCGUAGUCAACUAAUAGAUAGAAAAUCCACCUUGUGAACCGUGUUUGUCUUAAAGUACUGUCUGAGAAGGAAUAUACCUGUUCCAAUCCCUCUAGUGGCUAUACUGAUUGACAUAGGUAGCUUUCGUAGUCAAAGCUCACAGGGCCAAAUGCUCUAUUGGAGUGGGCACGAACACACACAAUCAAGGUUCGAAGAACUUCGGAUUCUAUGACGCUCACUCAAUGGUGUUGUGGCGAUUGCAAGCAAUCAAUAAACGAGGAAGCCAAAUUAUGGAUCCAGGAAGGCUGCAUCAGAAGGAAGAGUAGGUGUUGCUAUGCCGUUGGCUGGGACUGAGACAGAGAGAGGGGAGCAUAGCCCCUAUGAUCCCGGUAAAGAGUUCCAACUAAGCUCUUCUCAGGUUCUUUCUUUCUCUUCCAUUCUUAUGUUUAUAUAUUAAAGUGUUGUUUUCUUACUGAAAUAUAAUAAUAUUAAUCUAAUAUGCCCAUUGGUGUUCCAAAAGUACCUUAACGGAUUCCCGGAGAUGAAGAAGCGACUUGGGUUGACUUAUACAAUGUUAUGUAUCGAGAAAGGACACUUUUUUAGUUCACUGCCCUAUACAUAGAAAGAAGUGCUUUUCCACCGGUAUCAACAUUCCAUCUGGAAUCAGUAGCGAUAAUUGUUGUAUUGUGAGCCAGCCCCGUAAGACACUACGCACCUCCAAAUUCUAUAUGAUUUUUCCAAUCAUUUCAUUUAUACGACCUGCAAAUAAGAUAAGAUCUUGGCUCGCCCUACAAAAAACAACUAUAUGCCCUAUAAACUUGCUUGCUUCUUUGAAUCUCGAAAUAACAUAUAGAAAGUGUUUUUGUGAUGAGACCAUUCUCGAUCGAUAAAUGCGAUAGGAGCCUAUGUGUUUCACGGGCAGCCGGCCAAUAGGGGAAGGUUGUGAAUCCGGCGAACCGACCGCUUUAAGAACGUGAUUCUCUUCUCUCACUCAGUUAUCAAUUGACAAAGAUGACCCAUUCUUUUUCGCCCUAAAAAUGACAAUGGUAUGGUACUUUUUCUUCAAAUCGAGAUUGUGUGGGUGUCCGCUCAUGUUCACGUUACAUGCUAAAUCAGGCUUUCCUUGGAAAAACCAAGGACAACCCCUAUCUCAGUCUCCUUUCCUUUCUCUUUUCGGGAGCAGAGCUUAAAAAGAUGGAGUUACCUGGAGAUGAGAUUUCUUUCUAUGGAUAUGAAGGAUAGAAGAGUGACUUUGUUUUUCACCAAAAUCUAUAUUUGGGUGCGCUUUAUUUUUCCAUUCCAAAUCCAAAAAUUGAUAUUCUAGCUAUGGUUCUCCUUAAUAACGUUAAGAUUGUUACUUCUUCUCUGGAACUUGUUCGAUCCUUUAUUUGCGACGGAAGCACUCAUCUUCGCUUCCUUCUAUAGCGAAGCUAGUGUUACUAUGUUAGGUGGUAUGAAUAUGAUGGGCGAUGACGACCUGUCCCGCGCCAUAGCCUCGUAUCUCCCGCAGGGAGGUCAGGCUCCAGUAAAUAUUCCCGAAGGACGACCGCUUACAGUGGAAGAGGAAGGCCGUCUUGCCCUGGUGUUGGAUUUGCAAAAUCAGAUUGGCACUCUUCUCAAGAAUAUCGAUCUUAACUCGUUCCAGAACCAUCACUUUGAAGAGGAAAGCGCCUCUGAUCUCGCCGCGGCGGCCCUACUCCAUAAAGAAGAAUAUCUCAAUGACCACACAAAGUUAUGGGAAGUGCGUGAAGGGCUUAAUCUUUAUAAAGACAGCUCUAGGUUCUACUUUCGCGUGGUAAAAUGGGUAAAGGUCGAGAGAAAGGUUCGUAGCGGGGCGUUGCCAAGAAUGUUCAUCAUUGAUGAUGACGGUGAGGGAGAAGGAUAGUUACUGGCGUUUAGCUUCAUCUAGAAAGAAAAUCGGCCUUCCACCACUAAAAAGGGUAAUACUCGCUCAAAGUGAUGAAAUCUGUCGAGGAAACAUAAGCAGUUUCCUGUGUAGUGAUCUCUGUUCAUGGAGGUCAUCAGGCCACUGACACCCUUGUGGGUAGGUGGGGGGGGGAGAAGAGUGGGAACAAGGGCUUCUUUCACUUUUUUGUUUUCCUACAACGGUAUCUCCGAACUCAACGGCUCCCACGAUUCGGAGCGAUAGCGAAUUCAUACAAGGACUACUAAGCGAAUAAUUGCAUUCCUUCCAGGAGGUCGAGCGCACGCUUUCCUCGGUUUCGAAUCAAGGGACAAAGAUAGAUCCUCGGUAAUGGCAAAGGGGAUAGCCUUGCUUUUGAACAUUCAUGUGCAUAUAUUUUCAUUAGAUGUGCAAUCGAAAUCAGUAGGAGAGAAACUUUCAUCCCUAUAUUUCCACUUAAAUGGAAUUAGCGAUACCUUUGCUUUUAGUUUGAAUUCAUGAAUCCUGUUUCUAGUGGCGAGUAACUACUACGAAAGGUACGGAAAACGGGAAAGGAAAAGCACAGGAAAGAAGAAUAUAUUCAAUAAUGUCAUCCUUGUUUCGGUACCGGAUUCAACUUGUCGAGGCUUCUGCUCGUAACGUCACUCACUGGAUCAAAUCAAAGGGCUCGGUUUCUGCUCCUCGGCAAAGACAACGUAAAUUCAAUAGGAAUCCAAAUCCUAAAAGGCAAGACCCAAACCACCGGUCGAUCAACAAUUCUUCUUUCACUUCCAUCUCUUGAUACCUGUUUUCUUGCUUUUCUUACCACUGCUGUAGUGAACCGCAUCUCUAAGCACCGGGAGUCGUAAACCGCGCACAAGGUCCUUCUUAAACUAGAAAUAAGUGAAAUAAUUGUUCUGGGUCACCUUGGCUUUUGUGUUCAGUAGUUAGUAGGGGAAGUUGCUCGGCUUGGUAUCUCUCUUCCCUGUAGAAAACCAAUCACAAGUCCCUCCUUAUUUUCACUCCAAAAAGCUGGAAAAAAAGAGCAAAUCUCGGAUAGCCUAACUUGUUUUUUGCCCUGGAAAAGGCAGCUACUAUCCCUGCUGGAUUUCCAGAAAACGGAAUGUACCUAGGGAACCCUAUUGAUCAGAUCAGAGACUGAACCUAGUGAUCUUUCUCCUGCUGGCAAGCAUCGAUACCUGUCUCCUAAUGAAUUGAUCUUCUCUUGGGCUCUGAUUCACACAAUCGAAAAGCCCUUGUGAUGUGGGUCACCCUUUUCCUCUAUACAUCUGUUCAGCAAAGGGGGCUUGCUAUUCUCUGCAAUUGAAGGUUGGGCCUACAUAUCUCUUAUUUGUGUGGAUCAACCAUCCAACCUUUCUUCUUUCUUUCCAUAAAAGCGUAGGUAGAAUGCGUAUAGUAAUGGUAGAGCUGAUGUAUGGCUAAGCAGGGCCGAUGGAGCUCUUGGAAAGAAGUCAGUAUCCAGCUUAUCCCUAGUCUAGCACUCUGCUGUGAAGUCAGAAACCCAUUAACAAGCAAGUCUGUAGUGAACCUCUUCCUUAAGGGAUUGUGGAAUGCACACAUCCUGGAAUACAGUUGGGUGAUCCAUUAAGCUAAGCAAGAGCUAUGAACAACCUAGUGACGCGGUGGCAAGCAUCAAUACGAGGAAGGUGAUAGAUCAGAUACGAUUUCCUUCAUAGGAUACUCUUUUUCCUUCGGAUUGUGGAAUGAUAGGAAGGGCCUAAUAGUAGUGAUUUAGUGCAAUGUGAGGUGCCCCGCGCGUGAGACUUUCUGAGGUUAAGAAAAUAAUAAUAGGGCGGAUUUCUUAGACUCGGCUCUAUAGCACUCUUUGAGUAAGUUCGUUAACGAGGUAGCAGUUCUACACGAAUGAAAACAGACCUAUCUUCUCUUUCUUGGGCGGGGCACCAAAUUCAUGUAUCUUUACCAAUUAACCAAUUUCUUGACGCUGGGGUGGAUCCUAAAGAGAUACCACUUCCUCAUGAAUUUAUCUUGAAUCGAGACCUUUUGGCUCAACUUUAUCCUAGUUUUGCCGAAGGAGCAACCCCUUUUUUCACUUUAAAUUGGUCCAAAUACGCAGAAUUUCUGACUUUUCGCGGAGGACUAAAUCCAGUAACCGGUGGUCUCUGGCUGACCGAUAUUGCACACCAUCAUUUAGCUAUUGCUAUUCUUUUCCUAAUCGCAGGUCAUAUGUAUAGGACCAAUUGGGGUAUUGGCCAUGGACUUAAAGAUAUUUUGGAGGCUCACAAGGGCCCAUUUACAGGACAAGGCCAUAAGGGUCUUUAUGAAAUCUUAACAACGUCAUGGCAUGCUCAAUUAUCUCUUAACCUAGCGAUGCUAGGCUCUACAACCAUUGUUGUAGCUCAUCAUAUGUAUUCUAUGCCUCCCUAUCCAUACCUAGCUACUGACUAUGGUACACAACUUUCCUUGUUCACACACCACAUGUGGAUUGGCGGAUUUUUAAUAGUCAGUGCUGCUGCACAUGCAGCAAUUUUUAUGGUAAGAGACUAUGAUCCAACUACUCGAUACAACAAUCUAUUAGAUCGCGUCCUUAGACACCGCGAUGCAAUCAUAUCCCACCUUAACUGGGUAUGAAUAUUUCUAGGUUUUCACAGUUUUGGCUUGUACAUUCAUAAUGAUACCAUGAGUGCUUUAGGCCGUCCACAAGAUAUGUUUUCGGAUACUGCCAUACAAUUACAACCUAUCUUUGCUCAAUGGGUACAAAAUAUCCAUGCUACUGCGCCUGGCGUAACAGCUCCUGGUGCAACAACAAGUACUAGCUUAGCGUGUGGAGGCGGCGAGUUAGUAGCAGUAGGUGGCAAAGUGGCUUUGUUACCUAUUCCAUUAGGAACCGCAGAUUUUUUAGUCCAUCACAUUCAUGCAUUUACCAUACAUGUGACUGUAUUAAUACUUUUGAAAGGUGUUUUAUUUGCUCGGAGUUCCCGUUUGAUACCCGAUAAAGCAAAUCUAGGUUUUCGCUUUCCUUGCGAUGGGCCUGGCCGAGGGGGAACAUGUCAAGUAUCCGCCUGGGAUCAUGUUUUCUUAGGUUUAUUCUGGAUGUACAAUGCAAUUUCGGUAGUCAUUUUCCAUUUCAGUUGGAAAAUGCAGUCGGAUGUUUGGGGUACUAUAAGUGAUCAAGGGGUGGCAACUCAUAUUACAGGGGGAAACUUUGCACAGAGUUCCAUUACGAUUAAUGGGUGGCUUUGAGAUUUCUUGUGGGCACAGGCAUCGCAAGUCAUUCAUAUACUUAUGGUUCUUCAUUAUCUGCAUAUGGUGUUUUUUUCUUAGGUGCUCAUUUUGUCUGGGCCUUCAGUUUAAUGUUUUUAUUCAGCGGCCGUGGUUAUUGGCAAGAACUCAUUGAAUCUAUCGUUUGGGCUCAUAACAAAUUCAAAGUUGCUCCUGCUACUCAGCCUAGAGCCUUGAGCAUUAUACAAGGACGUGUUGUAGGAGUAACCCAUUACCUUCUGGGUGGAAUUGCCACGACAUGGGCAUUAUUCUUAGCGAGAAUUAUUGCAGUAGGAUAGUGGCUAGGAGGAUUUGAAAGGCAUUAUGGAAUUAAGAUUUCCCAGGUUUAGCCAAGGCUUAGCUCAGGACCCCACUACUCGUCGUAUUUGGUUUGGUAUUUCUACCACACAUGAUUUCAAAAGUCAUGAUGAUAUUACUAAGGAACGUCUUUAUCAGAACAUUUUUGCUUCUCACUUUGGGCAGUUAGCAAUAAUCUUUCUAUGGACGUCCGGAAAUCUGUUUCAUGUAGCUUGGCAAGGCUGGAUACAGGAUCCUUUACACGUAAGACCUAUUGCUCAUGCCAUUUGGGAUCCUCAUUUUGGCCAACCCGCCGUGGAAGCCUUUACUCGAUGAGUUGGCUGUCUGCCAUAAUCUUGUUGUCUUCUUCUUUCCCUAACCUUAUCUUAGCCUUAGGCGCCUCUCGGAAACUUCAUAAUCUGAAUCACUUUCCUCUCCGGGUAGUAACCAUAACUUUAACUAGGAACUCAGCAUUAUAGGACCGAGUCUUCUUUAGUAGUAGCUGUCUGAGUUUUUCCACUUUCCCCGAUCUCCGCCACUUCAUCCGUUGUGGCCCGUAAUGUCAUAGCUUUCAGGGUUGGGUUCUGAUAGAACUCUAUCCAUAGAGACCUCCUCCAUUUGCUCGUAUAUAGCACUUAGAAGAGUGACUUCUCCCCGAUAAGGGUUUAGAGUAUAGAGAGGAUGCCUUUCUAUAAAUAAUAGUAAUAGUAAAAGACAGAAAGCAAAGACUAGAUUAGAUGUCCGGCAUUUCUUUUUGAUCGAGUUUUUCGAAGAUUGAUUGGACUUGAAUUCCCACUUGAUUGCUUUUUCUCUCUCCUCAUGUUUUGCUAAUAGUUUUUAUCAACAUGGAGAUACGAAAGUAGAGAACGCAUUGCAUUCAAUGUGAUUUCCGCUGCCUUGCUUCGAUUUCAUGCAUUUAAAGGCAGGGUUGAGCAACCAAUCAUAAGCCAGCGAGGAUGCAUUUCCCGUGCCCCUAUUUAGUUAGUACUUUCGAGUUAAGAGCGAGAAAACGAACUAUUUCAUUUAUUAAAAAAAGUGCAACAGCUGUAGGGUGAAAAGGCCAUGAGGAUGGCUACGGCUUUGAAGCUCCUUUAUCUACCAUAGAUAGAAUGGAAGAGUUUUUUCUCACUGUUGUUUCUGAUGUAGGAGUUGGGGAUGGAAUGAUUGAUUCAAGCUUUGGUGGUACUAAUCAUGUCUCUAGGAGUAAACCAACUGGAGAGGCAAGGGAACAUGUAGUACUGGAGAGGGGAUCUCAUAGCAAUACUGAUUCAAGUAAUUUCAGAGUUACCAGAGAUGCAAUUGGUUUAGAAAUAUGUACUAGAAAAUGGUAAACUAAUACUGACUAUUCUCUGUGGAUAUCUGGUUGGACACCAAGCAUUUUGACCCCUAUUUGAAUGUAGAGUCAGAGUAUAGAUAGCUAAACAAUGUUGUAAUAUAUUUAUCUACCAAAUUAGAGUGCACAGUCAUUUUUCUAUUGAUGUUCCCAGAAAUGCAGUUCACUAGGGAACACCUUACAGGUUGGUCAUGGGUAUGGGUAUGCGCCAUACCCCUCAGUAUGGAGUACAUUGGGUCAGGAUUGGAUAGCAAGAGUUGUCGGUAGCCGGCAUUAGGUAAAAGGAAAAGCUCUAUAAAAGCGAAGAAAUGAAAUCGAAGGCUGAUAGUAAAGCUGGGGCGGAUUUUGAGUCGACCAGUUCGCUGAGGGCAAGAUUGGAAAGAGUGGUAGAUGAUAUUAGGUACUCUGUAUGAAGCGAGGCGUGCGAAAAGAAAUAGCAACGGGAAGAAGAUGAUUUUAAUGGUAAGGUAUCUUUAUCUCGAGACGAAUCGCGCGAGAUUCCAGAUGAUGCGGAGCAAAGCGGAACCAAUUGUAUGGGCACAAGAGGAAAAUAACUAGUUCUCUGAAUUUUUCUCAUGCGAACGAGAAGAGAAUUGCAGAGGAGAAUAGAGCUCAGCAGAAUAAGGUGAGGGAAAAAUUAUGAUGGACUCUCAAAUUGUGGUGACUACACUCAGGUAGGCCACAUCGCCUCAAUACUACUGCCCGUUGGAUGCAUCAAAUUGGUUUCGCAGAUCUCGCCUCGCACUCGCUUAGAGGUCAUGUCCUUUCCCUUCUCUUGCUCUUGCGGCGGACACAGUGAUUCUUCGUUCUCUGGUUGAUGGCUUUCAAAAGUCAAUUCCAGAAAGAGCCAUUUGAUCCCCAUCAAAGUCUGCAUUGAAACCCUUACACACUAAUAUACUUGAUACUCGAUCUAUUUCACCAUACUUCUACUUCCUGACAUUAAGAAAGUUUAAAACAAGGUCCUUCAAGAAGAAAGGAAGCACAUGCUUGAGACCAUUACGAUUCCUGUUAGUGAUGGUGCACUUGCAGCUAAUGUUAGCUGUAUUCAGUCUCUGAGUGGUCUACCUGUUGCUGCAUCAUAACCGGCCGACUCCUCUAUUGGUUGCUGCUGGUUUAUACCUGCAUUCCAAUCCGGUUUGAUUUAGAGAGAAAUCUCAAUCCAGCCUCAAUAUUUUGGAUUGAUCAGACCGCCUAUUGUAGAAGAGAUUGCUUGCUAAAAAUAGUACCGCAUUUGUGCUUAAGAAAAGGCUUUCUUGUCCGGGGUCUAUAUCAACUUUUAAUACACCACGCACCCCACUACCAAAAACUUCUCUUUCAAUUCUAAACAAAUAGAAAGCUCAGGCGGCUGCUCAACGAGGAGGUUCAUGCUCGUUAACUUACACUUACUUUUAGCACUUCUCUACCAGUUCUCUCUCAUAGAUAAGAAUAUCCUGCUCUUAGCACCGGUUUUCACUUCGUGUAGCAGCUUCUUCUUCUUUUGUCUACUCAAACACUUCAUCCAUGAGAACCCAGUUUUGAUCAAUGAUAUAUUCAAAAAGUAAGAGCUACUCUAUUAAUCUACAUACCUUGUCUCCGGCCACCAUGUUUUCUCCGAAGGGUGAAGGCGGAUUCUCUGAACUUAAAAUAAGGGCGAAGGAUACAUACAAUAUGCCGGGUCUAAAGUGAAGUAGUACAGACACAGGAAAUCAGAGAAAAACUUAGAGAGUCUCCAUAAUCUAGACUUCUCGGUUUCUUAAUCGGUGUCUAUCUUACUAAGAUACUGGUGCAGCUUAAGGUGCUGGUGCUCCACCCCGCUCUAAGAAGUAUGACUGUGAUUUGCCAAUACCCAAAUGGGUAGUGUACUGCUCGCUCCCCUUCUUCUUAAUUCAUACUUGUUUGCACACACAACCUUCCUAUAACUUUCUGACCUGGAUCCAACCAAAGAAGGAAGAUGUAUGGCCUCCCUCGAACAAAAGAAGGAAGUAUGGGAGUUUACCGGUAGGCAAUGACCACAUCCAAAGUAAAGUGCUCAGCUCAAAGAAAGAAGGUGGUGGGGGCUUCGAAGAGUGAAUAAGUUCGUUCACAGUGAUGUGUAAUCUCUUCAAAUCGAGAGAAGAGGUGUAGGCAGGCUUACUUGCUUAGUAUGUAUUUUUUAUACAAUCAAAGACCAAGGUCGUACGGAUAGCAAUUCUGGACCAUAGGCAUAGCAGCACAUAGGUAUUCUCUCUUCUUUCUCAAUUCAGAGAGGACACUAUCUUAAUUCUUGUGAAAAGGCAGAAGCAAGUGAAAGGGCAGUAGUAUUAUAUGAGUUCUAAAAAGAAGGGCGAAAAAAGUCAUGUAUGAUAGUGGUAAAAAGCCUUCAAUAGAAGGGAAUAGCAACCUGACUAGAAAUUCAUAGCUGACUAGCGUACGAACGAGUUGGUCAGGCUAUGAAUGAAGGCUACUACUCUUCAGGAAGAAGGUACUAAUAGCUCGCUCAGAGGUUCAGUCAAGCUCCUCACUCUUGGUCUGGCGGGGCAUAUUAGAUAUAGUAGUGGUGUUUUGAAAGCUUCUUAUUUUUUCUAAUACUAUAGUAGGAGUAGGUCAGGUACAUCUUCUUAUACUAGGGAUGCUUUUUUGAAUCAUUGAAAAAGCUUUCAAUAGUCUUAGUAAGUUUCAGAAAGGAGAAUACCAAGGUUGAAUCAAAGAUAAAAGUCAAGCAGGUCACACCGCCGAUGAGUUGUGUAGGAAGGAUUGCUUGUCAAGCUCUUGCGGAAUUUGGACUUAUUAUUUUGACUUAUGGCUCUGAGAAAAACCCUUUUCUAGAUUAGGCUUUUAGAUCUACGAAUUACGAGAGAGAUCUCCGAAAGUAUAAGCGAGAUGCUCUUACACCAGAAAGAUAGUAUAAGCUAGUUCUCACUAGCCGGGCCCUUACUCCUACUACUCACUAGCUGAGCCCUUACUCCCAUCUACUACUUCUUAUUAAAGCUGCAAGUGCAGAGGGGAAUUUCGCAAGCUAGGAGGAAUAGAAAAUCCUAACUAAGAAACAAUCAAUCAAUCCACUAAGUCUAUUAAGUAAGAGUUAUACGAAAUACUCUGAUUCAAUGUACGAGUGACUCAAUCCCAAAGGUCAAUCCAGCCAGCCGAUUUUCAACAACAAAGGAGUUCACCGUGGAAAGAUAAAGUCUAAUGACAGACACUGGUAAUUCUCUCACUGGGCCGGCCACUAGAAUCAGUCAAUGAAAAAGCAAGCAAGGAGAUGUCCUCACUGGACAUUUAUCCUAUUUGUGAAAUCCUUUCUAUGUUUCUGAGACCCGGAAACCUGUCAAGUAAGUAGGGAUUUCUUUAUCCCCAUCCAUGGUUUCUUUUACUUUUUGAUAGGCGUCCGGCGCAUGCAUACAACCAUUCCUUCUUCUCCUCGAAAUGUCAGGUCGGUCGGAAAGAAAGCGCGGUGUAGCUGGCAUCAACAUCUCUUGUUAGGUUCGCACGCACAAGGGUGGUGGGUAGGUCUCUUUACAUGUCCCGCGAGGCAAGGAAUUCUUCGACCAAUGAUAUCAUGGUAUCAGAGUCACCGAUCGAGAUUUCUCAUGGCUACCCAUUAUUUUCGCUUGAAAGAUCUUCACAUGUAGGCGGAGCCGUCCCUUUUGAAAAGUGGAUCUUUAGUCCAUUCAUUCUAAGUACUUUAUUAUUUAUUCUGUAGAAUAAGAAGGUUUCACAGGCAUGUGCUUCAUGGCGACAAGUCGUAAAGCAUGGAUAGGUGGAAAUGCGCUAUAAAGAUUCGGCAUCGCUCGAUCAAACAAAGGGAAAAAUCAUCAAGAAUCUGAUCUUGCUCUGAAUCAUCUACCAAGGGUUCACUGUCAAUGCAAUUUGAGUUGGCCAACUCCGGUGCCUCUAAGUCAGAAGUAUCUCUAUUGGCAAGCUCUCAUUGACAUAAUCCGGGGUAGGUGUAGGGAGCUGACUCUCAUGUGGAUCAAGAAAUAUCUCCGUAGUGCUCAGGACAGGCCGUGAGCAUCUUAUCUGCUUGGAUCAGGUAACAGCUUCAUUUCUUUUCAGAAGCUCAAACACAGCGUUUUCCAAUAUAGAAGCGGAGUAGUUCUUGUGCAAUCUAGGCAUAGGGCUACUAGAAUCCAUCACUAAAAGAGGAGUAUUCCGAGCUCUAUCGACACAAUAGGACUCUAGAUAUUGGCAACAAAAGGGCACUUACCCCUAAACUAGAUUACUCUUCUUCUUCCUAUGAUAAAGCGGGGGCUGAAAGGGACUCUUUAAAGUACUUCAACGUUAUCACUGGACUUUCGUGUCAAUAGAAAGAGAAGGUAUUUAAGCAAUGUGUGUUUUGAGAUACAAUCAAUCGAAGAGAAUAAAACUGGGUCCAAUAAAAAACAGGAAUGAAUUUAUUCAAAGGGAUUGGAAAGGGAUAAGUACAAAGGGAUUCAACGAUCUAAAAAAAUAAAAAAGGGUUUCAUAAUCCCCUCCUACGAAUAAAAAUUAGUAAAAUAAUGUGGAUGAAUAAGAUUUUGCUCUAUUUUGGAUCGGAUUUGGCGGCAUGGCCAAGCGGUAAGGCAGGGGACUGCAAAUCCUUUAUCCCCAGUUCAAAUCUGGGUGUUGCCUGACCAAAAAAAUACUUAGGAUUUCUUAUUGUACUGAUUGAACUCGACAAAUUCUUGCCCUGCAUAACCAAAGGAAAAGAACUAGGCCUGUCGAUACUGGAUUUUACCAUAGUUAUAGUUCUAAAAAAGACUGUCAAUUUCUUCUUAAAAAUAGGGCUCUGGUAGGGUUCUGGGUAGUGGCCCAAACCGAUACCAAUAGGGAUGAGGGAUAUAUACUUAUGAAUUUCAUAAUUGAUUCUAUUACGCAAUUCAUAACUACGAAAGUAAGAGGUUGGAAAUCUUUUUAUCCAAAGGUCCCUAAAGGACAUUCCUUUUUUGCUCCUAGGAUUGAAGAAGAGAUUAUACGAAAGACUAUCAAGACUUCCUAAUUAUCUAACACUACCUACACUAAAGUAAGGUCUACUGACUCUGUCUGGAAUUAGAUUGGAUAGGCUGAUGGGAAAUUUAGGAGUUGUGGAAAGAAGAGACUUUCUUUCCAUACUUACGAGAGACUCCGAGUACUCAAACAUUCAAUCAGGAUGGUCGGUUAGCUCUUAUCUUUUAGAAUAACUUAGUAAAAAAAGUAAAAGUAAUAAAGAAAAUGAAUCUCCUAACUCGGUAGCCCAUGAGGUUCCAAUGGUUAGUUUUGGAUUUUUUCAGGCAAGAAAGCAAAGAAGAAGGGAGGAUUCUCUAUUACCAACUUCCCCCAUUAUCCUGUCCUCAUUGGUCAUUCAUCUUUCCCGAUCUAGUGCCAUCGUUCUUCAAGGUGCCGGAGGGUUUGAAGCAUACCUACUACCCCUUCCCUUAGCUUAGUUCAGAGUUGCCUCAGCGCGCUCGAGUAAUAACUGGGAAAAUCAAGGCUGGACAGGUCUUCGAGCCAACUUCAGGAAGAAAUGCAAGUGAAAGAGAAUGCUCUCGAGGGCGCAGGAGUCUUUUUCUGUCUUUCUUAUUUGAAAUCCAAAUCGAAAUGCCUCAACUUGAUAAAUUAACUUAUUUCUCACAAUUCUUCUGGUUAUGUCUUCUCCUCUUUGUUGGAAGAUGAGUACACAUCGGGUAAUCCGCCCACGAGAGCCCAAUCACAAGAGGCUCAUACAGAAAGCAAUCAGCCCACAACCCAAUAUCGAGACCACAGCCUAUUAUUCAAACCACAAAGGAUCCGUCUUUCAUCGUCCAAUCUUCUCGAUCGAACAUAUUGACAUCAAUACUCCUUUCCAUGGCCAUUCACGGCCCGCGAAGAUCAACCACUCGUGCCCGAGAUCACUAUCCAAUCAAAAACCAGACUUCCAAGAUCCAUCUCACUCAGACCCUUUUGAAUGUAGCAGAUAACAACGGAGUGGGGCUAUCGAAUUGAUAUGUAUUCGAAUCUUAGGAGCUGGUAAUCACUGAUAUGCUCAUAUUGGUGACGUUAUUGUUGCUGUAAUCAAAGAAGCAGUGCCCAAAAUGCCUCUAGAAAGAUCAGACAGAAGUAAGACGAGUUGUAAUUGUACGUACAUGUAAAGAACUCAAACGUGACAACAGUAUGAUAAUACGAUCUGAUGACGGUUGUCAUUGAUCAAGAAGGAAAUCCAAAAGGAACUCGAGUUUUUGGUGCGAUCGCUCGGGAAUUGAGACUUAUGAAUUUCACUAAAAGAGUCUCAUGAGCUCCUGAGGUAUUAAAAAUACUAGUAGUAGAGACUAUGAUAUAGUAGGGUAUCAGAAUAUAGAUCAAUUAGUAGAUUGUGUCUAACGCAUAUACAUGAAAAAAAAGAAUAAUUAGAUAAUAAUAAGAAUAAGAAUUCGAAUCUUAAUAAAAGGAAGGGUUCGAAUAGCAUAUACUAAUAUUACCGAAAACUUUGUGAAAAUACUUCUACGAGAAGGUUUUAUUGAAAACGUUCGAAAACCAUAGGGAAAGUAACAAAUCUUUCUUGGCACGUGCCCCUGCUCCUGGUCUUCGAACUAGUCAUUAAUGGUCGGCAACAUAGGUACCCUUUUUCGGUAUGCAUUGCGAACACUUUCAUUUUUAGCGUCUCAUCUUCUCUAGAGAAGCUCAAAUCGAACGGAAAGAGCAGAUGGUCCAACUACAGAACUUCUUUUUCAUUACUUCCAUGGUCGUGCCCCGUGGCACGGCAGCACCCAUACUAUUGAAAUGGUUCAUCAGUAGAGAUGUUCCCACUGGUGCCUCUUCUCCCAAUGGUACUAUAAUUCCUAUUCCUAUCCCUUUAUUCCCUUUUUGGUCUAUCUACAUUUAAGGAAAUUCAUAUGCUCCAUGGACAGAGCAAAAAGUGGAGUGUUGGUUAAAGCAAGCCGCCCUAUUCUAUUACCAGACAAAAUGGAGAGAAGCUCAUCCGCUAGAAAUGCUUUAUUUCGUUUCGUUCCCGUUCUUCAUUUCCUUAUUAUCGAAUCCAUGGGGGACUUGUCAUAUUUAGAAUCUUUCUGCGGUCUGUUCUGUUUACAAUUCUUUCGUACUCUCUUAUCUUUACCACGCGAUAGGUCAGCGAAGCGUGAGCGGGCGCUCCGAAGUAAAGGCCAAACACUUCGGCCUAAGGGGAAUGAGCAACAAAAUGACAAGAUGAGGUGCCCCGGGCACCCCCAUAUAGAAAGAAGGGUCGAAGGUUUUGGGCCUGUAGCUUUCCCCGCCCCCCCCUCGUCGAGUGGUGCUUGUUUGGGGGGUGUGCCACUAGAAAGCGGGCUUGAAGCUCUCGCCUUACCAACGAGUCGACUGCUGAUGGCUGUUGGUCACGACUACUACAAAAAACUGAAGAUGAAUCUUUCUAUUUCACAUGGAGGAGUGUGCAUCUUUAUGUUGGGUGUUCUUCUGUCGUGCAACCCGAUGGCUUAUGUGCGACCUGUGGCCCACGCCUCCUAUUCUAUUUGUUCAGGGCGGGCGGCGUGAACUCUGAUUCCCGGGUAUUCAAUCCCACCGCUGAGAUGCUCAGUUGACUCCUUAACCUUGAUAGGAAGAUGGCUUAUUCCAAAAUUCGUGCAUAAGGGUAAGGAACUUUGGAUGAAUUAAUGCGAAUGGGUGUAAGCCUCGCUGCUCGGAAACACCCAGUGCUGACCACACUGAGAGACACGAAAGCGCAGGUAAUGCCAGUUGGCAAAGUGGCGUUAAGCAUCCCUAGCGGUACGCAAAGAGAGGUCGUGAUGAUAUCAUCUACGUCAGUACUGCUCCUCGUGGAGUAGAUCCCGCAUCCAACCAACCCUUUUUUGACCAAGGAACGAGAGAAUUCCCACUACCGCUGGCAGGCCAUCCGGGCCGUGAGCGCGGUGGGAACGGGCUUCCCAAAAAGCGAGCCCCGGCCCGGGUCAGCAUAGAAUGGGGGGGACGGCCCUAAUGUUGUGUUGGCCGGGUUGCGGGCGGAUAAAAGCGGACGUGGGGACUCGAGUCGGGGCACAGCAUAACUAAGAGAGCCAUUCCAUUUAGGGCGAGACAGAAUGGGCGGGCACAAGUGGUCUGGUGUCCGAGCCGAUUGGUCAGACGACGACUACUGCACAUAUUAGAUUCUAUUAGCCGCCUAUCCCGGAAUGGACUGGGAUGGAAUAGAAAGAACGCGAAGCAGCAAGCAAGGGAUGAGCGCUUUGUUGCUAAAGCGCAUACGUUUUCUUGCUGGGUCGGUUUGUUUUUGGGGCGUGGGGCAAUAAGCUUGCUUCUUCACAAGGUUAUCCCCGCCCCCUUUCCUGUCCGUCCCGAUCGGAAGCAGUUGGGUCUCCCCAUCUCUCCUCAACUUCCCCGGUCUUCGGCCCGAGCUGUAUGAGGCAGAAACUCGUCCCACGUACGGUUCGGAGGCCGAGCCCCACCCCUGCAAUAAUGGUGCGGCUUAGGUCAACUAAUACGAAUAAGAUACAGUUCACUCAACGAUUGCCCUUGGGUCCCGAACUCCAUAUGGGGAAGGAACAUUGUUGUUUGCGAGGUCUCGAUCAUUUACAUGGACCCACUUCUCAUUCCAUUUGUGGGAAUUUGAUGAUUUAUAAACCGUCCCCAACGAGCGAAAGGUUCAUGUUUGAACAUGAUGAAUCACUUCGUGCCGACCUGUUGCCCAUAAACUUUCCUGCCUCAUAUGAGAAUGGAAAACUGGAAGAUUUUCUGCAUCGGUGGAUGAAGAAUCACGAACAUAAGAAUUUCUGGUUUAGCAUGUUCCCAGAAAGAAGAUACUUCUUUUCCAUUCAAGAAACGAGGAGCACGACUGAAGUGGCUAUACAUACAAAUCCAUUUACGGAUCUAUAUGCUCCGAUUGGAACUGAAAGUUCCAGAACUGGCGGCUGGUAUACCACCACAAUUAAAUUGCCUUUUAUUUUUAGUAUUCGGAUAGGAUUUCUGUUGGCUUCAUCGGGAGGCUCGCGUAGUUUGUUACGUCAACUCCUAAAGGAUAAGUUGCAUUGGAAUCGAGAAAGUUUCGUUCAUAAUUGCAUAAAAGGAGUAAAAAUAGUGGCUGCGGCGCGUCGAGGGUCAACCUUUGAUAUCGAAUAACCUUUCGAGCCUUCCCCAAUGGAUCUCUAUACUCCUUUGAAACCAAUAGAAGUUCACUGACCAUCCCUAUCAAACAUAACCCAAGGUAGGACCAAGAGGAGAAGAAUAGGACUCUUGCUAGUAUCAUAACCUCUCGAUGGGAGAAUGAAACCAUUAGAUUAGUGGAAAGAAGAAAGAAUGGGAAGAAACCAGCCAACUUACCAAGAGGAAGAAAUGAUGACCACUUUUUGUAUUAUCUCGAAAGUUUUCAUUGGAUCUAGAAGUAAUCACAACGUCACUUUUCUUAGGAGAUUUCAUGGUAGUUUUUGGAAACUUAUUGAUUAAUGAGGUCAAGAGACUCUAUAAUUCGAAUGAUAUGUGGAGAGAGCGGGGCGUCUUACCCGCAUCAAUCGAUACCAUGGUGUCGCAUAUACACGAAGGUUAUUCUUCAUUUCAUCCCAAAUUGGUAUACAAAACCUAUAAAUAUGGUAGGGGUGGUAUGACUUUGCAGGAACAUUUCACUCUGGAAAGGCAAGAUGAGCUUGGCUAUUUAAGUGCCAGGCGCCCACUCAUCAAUGCUGGUGAUUGGCCUUGUAUGGCUACGCCAUCUCUUCCAAUAGAUGUACUACUUUUGAAAGCGUUAGCUAAUAUCUUAAUGUGGGAGUUUCUAGUGAUAAGAAACAAUCUUCCGUCUAGAUUAUUUUAUUAUAAUGAAAUGUUGGAUUACCACCAAAGGUUCUGGCAUGGUCAAAGUGGUGUAGAGAAAAUAGUCUGUGUGGAUUUCAGUCAUAGUAUCCGGUAUGUUUCUACUCCACGUCUAUGGAAUACCUUAAAGUGUCUACACAAUCUGGGUGUGAUUUCCCACAUCUUAAAGGAAUUUCUAUCUCUCCCGAUAUAUAAUGCUGCCACUAACCUCCAAAUUCCUCAUUCGAAUUGUAUACCAUUGAUAGGUGAAUUGAGCGACGUGCUCCUACAUCUCUUUUUGCAACAUCAAUUCGAUAGGGAGGUCCUAAGCCAGUAUGAAGGUGUUCUUUAUACAAGAUGGGACACCAAUGUCCUUCUAGCUUCAACACGCUAUGAUUCAUAUCAGCUUGACCGUCCUCAAAUUCUGGACAUCUUAAGGCACGUAAAUCUAAGUGGAUUUAUUUCCGUGAUCGAACGUGGUGGCGGGGGCAUGCACGUGAACCCUGAGAAAUCUCAGAUAUUCCUCAGUGCAGAUGGUGAUGUUAGUAUCCCUCAACUAAGCGAAGGUGAGACUGACUAUGAUAGUGAAUGAUUCCGGGGAAUUGGAUAGAGUAACCUAUUCAUAAUAAUGAUGAGUAUCCCCGGGGGCAUGUCCUACUUUGUGAAGUAAGGUUCAAAGAAAGGGAGAGAAGAGAUAGAUGGAUCUGAACCUGGAAUCAAAGGGAUCUGCGAAAGGGAUUUUGAAGAAUCUUAUGUCCUUGAGAAAAGUAAAAAAGAUAGGAAAGGGAAGUAAUGUCAAACCUGAAAAAUAAUAUGGCAUGAGAGAUUGAAUAUAGGGAGGAAUGAAUCGGGCAUCAAGUAAACUAAGGCAUCAAGGAAAGUAAGACUUGAGGAUGGAAGGGAGGAAGGAACCAAUAAGCCACCGUCAGUGUACCAGUCAUUGGGACAGGUGCCGUGUGUUCGGUCUACCUGCCUUUAGUACGACCCGGAUGAAAAGAUGCUGACUUUUCUUAAAGGUUAGGCCAAAUGAUUCUAAGCUUGAGGACCCAUUCUAUCCGGGCCUAAAUGCUGGAGUUUCAGAAUUCACUCUACUUCUUACUGACUUUCGCCGAAUAUAUCCUAUGUGCUUAACACAUUGACGUCGGCGGCUAAGCUUUCUUUCUAAUGGUGAGCCGGGGAUCUAAUAGUCCACUUCACCCUAUCAAACUUGACCUCGAUAUAGGUUGCUUUUUGAUGACUAGUUAAUAGAAUAGACGGUAUCUAUUAUUUUCUACCUCCUCUACCUAGAUCUCCUUUUCCUAAGGAGGGAGAGAAGACGGUUCUCCGGGACGGAAGACAUCUCUCACUCGUACAUAUAUGGAUGGGUUUUCUACCUCAGAAAGGGAUGAAAUUGAGCAGCAGAGAUUGCUAAAAUAGCAAAGGGGAUCCAGAUUAUUUCAGAACUCCAACUGAAUGAUGCUAUACUCGAAUCUGAUUCUGCUGCAGCUUGACAAGGACCUGUGAAAAUGCUGAUAUCUCGAAUCCCUAUCUUAUUAAAAUGGGGUAGCUUUACUGAAGUACUGCAAGAAAAGUAUGGAAAAAAGCAUAGUCGGUACUUCUUAAUGCGGUACGUAAGCUGGUUAUCCUGACUAACAAUCAUGCCUUGCUUGGAUUUAGGGAUUAGGAAUUCUUAUUGGGAAAGAGAUUGGAUUGGCAUUCAAGUAGGAGUAGAUCCUAUUGGUCCAAAGUAGGCAUUCUUGUAUCAAUUAAAGUAGCUAUCUUCAUGAAAUAAGCGCUAAGAUUCUAGUUCAAAGAUAGGAGCAUUAAGCUCUAAAUCCAGUCAGUCCAGCUGGAAGUUUCACUAACUACUUAGGGAACUAGGGACCAGACCAGAGUUAUGAUUGGUGUAUUCCAUUCCUACCGUAAUUGAGACUUGCCCUCGCUCGCGGGUGAUUCCUUAUAGCUUGAUCCAUGUGAUGGCUGUUCUCUGCAAUGAACCACAACAUGUCCAUGGACUUCACAGAGAAUUGAGUGAAUGCACUAAAAACCAAGAAAUGACAUAGCGAGAACUGAGCAGCUCGAAAAGCUCGGACUUCGUAUACAUAAAGUAGAACUAAAAGCAGAUGAGUAGAGAUUGAAUCGAGCAUAGAAAUAAGAGAGUUUUGCUUAGCACUGUUCGGUUCGUCUUUCUUUACAAGUCAAUCUAUGCAUAAUUCUAUUUCUUGCAGCGCUGAAUCCGCUUUUGAAAUACAGAUCAGGGGCGGUAUUCUUAUUCUUUGGCUCGCCACUUAUGAAACAAAACUAGAUAUUUCUUAUUAUUUUCUUAGAGCUGAGCUCCGCAUGCGGUUCGAUUAAGAUGCGACAAAACCUUAUCCAUUAGUCUUGGCGAUGCCAGGGAUGGAGGGAGUCAUCAGUCGCACAAGCUUAUUGCUAAAGCCAAGACAGGACAUAAUAGCUUCUAAGUAAUGCCAUUGUACCCGCUUUCAUCAUGCCCAACUCAAAAACCAUUUAUCCCAUACUUCUUCUUUUCUUGUUCCUUCGUAUGAAUAACAGGAAUCCCAGUUCGGAUAGUUGACCAACAUUAUGAUUGUGUAUGAACUAGGGCUUUGGCUCAACACCUAUUGUCUUUCUUGCCCAUCCUUUUGUGGUAUCGAAGCUGUUCAUUGAGAUCCAUAGGUUCACAUUACAACCCACCAAUAGUCGAUUCCAGAGUGGAAGGCGAAAAAGAUAGGACGGGGACCCUUCGGAAGAAGGUAUAUGCUCGUAGUAUCUAGAAAAUAUUCAUGGUUGCAAGAGCGAGGUUAGUCAUCCUCACCAUCACCAUCAAAUACCGGUACUCGCUUUUUCUACAAGCUUGAUUUACGAACUCGACCUUUCACAGGAAGGAAGUUCCGUAUACCAUCAACGGAGUCAAACCGCUAGAGGGUCACAUAUAUCUAUAUACUAGUUCCGAUCAUACCAGUACUUACUUCCGUGGAGAUACGAGAAAGGGGGAGAAGAUGCGAUUAUGUAUCAUAAAUACUAAGGCCAGACAGACUAAAAGGGGCUUUUGGAUACGAAGAAGGUUUUCACGUCUUGCUUUGGGUGGUAUGCUUCCUCACUGUUGCUAUUCUGCCCUUUCCCGGUAGUCAACCACCAACGAACGCAAGGAGAUCUGGACCUGCAUGUAAUGUUUUUUCUAAAGCAGCUUCCUUACAUCAACAUGGGAUUGAAAAAGGGAGGGAAUUGAAAAAGGCGACUCCUCCUUAGUAGGAAUAGUAGCUGAGGCUGCUUCAACUCAUAACGAAGCUAUUCCAGCACAUAAGUCCGGGAUGAUCUGAGGUCGCUGGUCUCACAUGGAAGAUAUAUGAGCCUCCGCUGGAUAAACACCAGAACUGGUAUCGGCUUCUUUUGUUCGUAACGAACAAGCAACGGAUUGGGGAUUGCCAAUAGAAAAAGAUACAACCAACCAACAGCUUUUGGAAACCAGGAUCACCCCCAUUGUAAAGAGAACACGACACCCCUUUCCGUAGGGGCUCGCAAAGGUAUUAUACUGGAUGUGCGCAGAGAGCUAAUGAAACCCCAUUCCUUUUUCUCUAUACUCAAGGAUCUGCUAUAGCUUGCUUUUCCAAGAGUAUUGUAUUGACCUGAUUCCCCAGGAAAGAGUUGAUGGCAUCUCAACGCAAGAAGGUAGAGAAGAAUCCCUAGCGAAGAUGUGCCGAGAGCGAGAAAGCAUGUCUUCCCCGAGAUUAUUUAUUCCUCUUAUUUCUUAUAUGAAUAACUGAAAUCAAUCCUCACUUGUAUUAACUUCAUGAGUGAAGAGAUAUAGAAACCCUCAAUACCAGCACUGCUCCUAUCAAAAUCAAAUAAUUGGAUUUGUUUCCCCACUUCCUCCACGGGAUUCGUACAUCGGAUGAGGAUUCCUACAACGGUACAACGGAUCAAUCCAUUCAAAUCAACGAAACCAUUAGGUACGCCCCGGGAUCUACUCUAUUUUUAGAUUUGCUAAUGCCGAGAUCCAAUGCGAAAGCAAAGCGAAGGUUGUUAUUCAAUAGUUGUUGCCGGUAAAGGAACAUCGGAACGGGUAUCUUUAGCAAAGCAAUUUGGAUUGGUUGAAUCGUAUUGAGUUCCGGUCUCUUAUAGGGUCUUUCUUUGUCCUACUUAUAGUAUCUUUCCUCCAGCCUAUCGAAACUCGUGUUUUUAUUAACCAACAACACAUGCACUUUGUUAGAACUAAAGAAAAGGUUAUUCAAUCCACUAGUGCAACUGAAUUGAAGGAAUUACCUAUUCUGAACCUCCACAAGAAAGAGCUCAUAACCACUGCUUGUGAAGAGUUCUCCUCAACUGAAGGAGCACUACUUUUACUAUCAGUCUAGUCUCUCGAGGGCACUCUUUCGAUCUCGAACAAACUUACUUCUCCGGAAGAGAGAUAUUCAGAAAACCCGAUUUCCAGUCCUGUCUUAAGAACCCGACUCCAAAGAAAGAAAAAAGAAAAGCGGACUAAAAGAGAACAACAAAAGAGAGAUCACUUUCGACGAUUGAACAACACUUUGAUAUCCAGAUUGGAACUGGACUUGAACCUUCAUAUCCAGAUUUCACUCCACUUUCACUUUCAUAUUAGGAACGUCGACUUGCACUUUCAAUAGUGAAUUAUUCACUUUCCGGAAUUGGCUCGUAUUCACAUAGGCCAAGAAAGACGAAUAAGACCUUGAACUCCCUAUUUCACGUAUAAUCGAGAGACUCAUAAUAUCAGUGCCUUGGGUAAAUGCCUACCAAAGGGAGAAGAUUACCGAACUUUUUUCUGUCUUCUUCGCUUCCUAAAAUAUUUAGGGAACAGGCUGGCUUUCAUGUUCAUAAGUUCUCUUUGUCACAUACAUCCAUCGCUUUCGUCUUUCUUGGCUUACUCAGGUGAUCUAAUUAAUGGGCAAGCCCCACUCAAAGCAAUUCAGUCCCGGAGCUCUUUCUUCUAAAUGCAGAUUCAAUAGCACCGGUGACAAAAGCAAAGGAUAUUCAAUCCAGUCGUCGUCUUGUGGGCCUGCUUCUUUCCGUUCUUUCUCUUCUUUUGCAGAGGUGUGUGUUGUGCCACGCAUACAAAUUGUUUUUUUAGCCAAAGGGUGACUUUACCACUCGCUUUUGGUUCCAAUGGAUAUGGGUUAGAUGGAUGGAGUCUUCCUUAUUGAAGUGGGCAAGGCAAGCAGCUCCUCUCGAAUAGGCUGAUCGGCGAUACGUGAUUUUUGAAUAAAAGCUAGACGACUCAGCCCUCUUCUCAUCUCAAAGCUCGACCUCUGCCACUACUACUGCUUCCCUAGCCAAGCCAUACUUCUCAUUCUUUGCUUGAAUCCAUCAAAAAACAAAUUCCGUCGAGUUUCCUUGCAUGGGUUGAUUGACCUUGAAGUCCAUAUAUAGAUUCCCGUAGUUCAUCUCAACUUGACAAACCAUUGAGAAUGGAACAAAUAGGGGAGAUGGAAUUCUUCUAUAUUGUCUUUCAACCCCUGCUCUUGCCUUGGCUUCGCCUUCCACCUUCAGCUAAGCACCUAACCCGUGGGACGGGACCUUCGGUCUAGCCUUUGUUCGGGUAUGGGACCGACCUAGGAUUCUUCCAUCCGAGUGAGUACCGCCCUUCUGAUUUGGUUUGAGUACGGGACCGACCUUCUCUUUUGUUUGUAAUUGGGCUUGCCCGAAACAAAGGAACUUUGGUGUGAGAACCCACCCGAGUUGGUAACCCGACAUUUUCACCUACGAUUUCUCCCUCGUCUUCUUUGCCUAGCCUUUAGCUUCUUUCUUGUCUGAUCUUAGAUUUCACUGUUAGGAAAUAGGGCAUUACCUGUCACUCUGCCUUUCUAAGAAGGCCUUUCGCUUAGUUGUCCUUUCUACUAGAACUUCCCUUUAGCAGUUCUGGAACAUCUAUAGUAUGUUUGAAUGUCGGAAAUUUUUCUAUAUUCUCUUCCUCCUCGUCCAUUAGUUCAGUUCCUUUCCUUAGUGAAACCUGACCCCCUCCAUCUUUCGAGAACAACAAGAGGGCAUUCUCAAGCAGGCGUAUUCUUCUUCACUUCCUAAGAAGGCAUUUUCUUGCUAACAAGCCAUUCUGGCGAACAAAAGAGCUACUUCUAUCAAAGAGGAGCAAAGGCUAAGCGGAACUCCUCCCUUCGUGUCUUCUUCCUUUCCAAGCUUGUCGCGGGGAAUCUAGGCUCUUUUUCAGCCCCUAAGGACUGCUACUUUGAUGAAUGAGGCCUGACGGUCUUAAUUCCUAAUGCUACUCCUACUGCUAUUGCUAUUGUUACUGCUUUUGGGAAUUGGCAUCUUUCUUCAUAGGGGCCUAGCCAAGGAAAGCUUUCCCAUUAAAUGAAUGUGCUUGCGUACUCUUCGAUUCCUGCGGGAAGUGUGGGACUAAUUGAAUUUCAUUCUUGUCCGCUAAGAGAAUUAUUCUUCCUUAUAGCUUGCAUUCGAUGCAUCCACCGUACUAAGAGCUCCUUCUUGAAGAACCGAUUCUGUAACAACCCCAAAGGAGAAUCUAUCUAAAUAAACCUAAAUAAAACUCCCAUUAUGAUUUGAGAUUGCCUUGCCAUUGCGCCCCUUGCCUUUCUUACUGGAUUUCCAGUUGAUGGGGACGGCUUGGCAAAGAAGCUUGUGUUGGAAGAGAAGUGGAAAACUAAGCUGUUCGGGCUUAACUUAAACCUGAUUGCCCUAGUAGGAGUCAGAAUAAGGUUGAGGCUUGAAGACAAGCAACUAACAUCUCGGAUCUUGCCAUUGCCAGGAGCAUGGAUGCCCAGAAUGCCCUCAGUCUAUGUAUGUCUAUAUAGGCUUUAAGGAAAAAGGCAAGUAAGCCGUAAGCCACAAAUCAAGGCUUUUAAGGACCUUCGACAGCUUAUAAAUAAGCUAAUAACAGAUCUUUUGCGUCUUUCGAGAUGCGAAGAGAAGUAAGAAGGUUUACUAUUGGGAUAACGAAGAUAUGACCAUAUUUUAGAUCGAUUUUCAACAGACGAGAUCGGAUAGUAGAAUAGAGAGAAGGAUUUGCUGCUUUCUUAAAAUGAUAGAGAGUCAGGAGAGGGUCUAUGUUAAUAGAGCUCUUUAGAUAGGGAGAGGAAAGACAUAACUAGACUGCGGAAAGAAUAGAAUCUUUUACCGCUACAUCCGCUUGAGAAGAAAACUCAGCAAAGGAGAUUCCUAUCCUUUCUCUAGUUGAAGACUAAUCUGGAUAUUCCCGACGAUGCUUGACUUCGAGUUCUUGGAGUGACAGCUUUCUUUGUAAACAAGGGUCCCUUACUCUAUUACUUUUCCACUUCAUUGAUCUGAAAGAAGUGACAGAAGAAAGCUACGGGCAUAUACCCCUGCCCCGGGGGAACAGGUGCCACCUCAACAGCUAUAUUCUAAAUCGUUAAGCCUCGCAACCCUUUCCUUUGUAUCGGACCUUUCCCGCUUUCCUUCCUCACUCAAACUUCAAAAAGUCCUUCCAUGAAUCUAGGGAAGGAAAACCACCUCUGACUUCACCAAGUCUCCCUUUCUUUGGUCGAAGGCUUCAGGUCAAGAUCCUUUUUCCUAUCUAUUGAAGAUGCAAAGAGAGAUGCUUCUUCCUCUUCAAGUUGGAAGUGCAAGAAGAAAUGCGGUAAAUAGGAGUUCCAUCUACCACGCACUCGCCCCACACUCCUGCUAACUUCAGCAUCCAUAGUCAGCUAGGAGGAAGGUGCCGGGGACACUAUGAACACACAUGUACUUGGUUGACUUCACGUCCCGUCUCACAACCGGGUAAGAUCAAAUAAACAAACAACUUGCUUGCCCAAUCCCUAUUGAGAGGAUUUCUUGAGCUUGAACUUCCUUUUGUAGCUCCGCUCACAAGAACUUCUUUUCAUCCGCAAUGAAGCUUAUACCACCACUUGGUCAGUAAGGCCUGAUUCAAAAAAAGAUCAAUCACCCCCUUCCCUACUUCAAUGGAAAAGGGGGAAUCGCCCUUUCACAGCCGCCCCUCCACAAAAUUUAUACCUAUCCUUUUGCCUAAGAUGAUCACGAACGAAGACAGAGAAUUGCGUAGAUAGGAGGAGGAAACAAACCAACCCGAAAAAACAAACAAAAGGGAAUGAGAGAAAUGAUCGAAACGAUUGAGGAAAUAAAGAGAAUGGCGGCCCCUUUCCUUUCGCCUAGGGGGCAUCGUCGUCGGGGACAGGCUUCGAGGGUUCUUCCAUAUCUAGAUAUAGAGAUAGAUGAUGAUAGAGAUCUAGAUCUUUCUAUAGAUAGAUCCUUUGAGAAAUUUCUAUUGAUCCGCUUUCAAGAUCUAUGAACAAGAGAGAUCCAAAAAAUCUCCAUGUAAAAAAGAGAGAUGAAUAGAUAGGGCUGAGCCGAUAGCAGGACUGGGUACGAUGAUGGGGCGAGAGAGGGAAAAAACCUUCGGGAUGGAUCGGGAAAAGUGACCUCUGGCUCAGCCCACGACUUCCUUCCCUUCGCAUAGCUCAGGUGACUCCCUUCCCCCUUUUUUCCCAGAAUGAAUUAGCCCGACACGAUGAAUCCUGCCCUCCUGUAUUUCUUUCUCAUUGAAUGAACCACUGUCUGGGACGCCCCUAUGCCUAUGAAUUCAAUGAUUUAAGGGCCCCGGGAGGAAACUUCGGAAAGAAAGCCUACUGGUUGGUCUGGUUGUCCCCUGGCGGUGCCCGGGCGGGCCUCGGUUCAAUCUUGCCGAUUCUACCUAGACAUGGCUCAAAAUGAAGGGGUAAGGCCAAGUGUUCUUAAAACAAAACUCGAAGUGCACACUUCGGAGCACGGUCUUCCGUUAGGUCCUUUACGGACGACGAAAGCCCCUUGGCUAUACUCUACUCUUCGCCUCCGGCUGUUCUGUUCUUUUCUUUUGGCCCAGCGGAGCUGAGCUGGGUUCCAUUACACUCUAUAGGAAAUGCAUAGACAGUCCACGCAGCAAACCGAGGCCCUGCGUGCACCGUAUGUACCGCCUAUGAAUAAUAGGUAGCCCCACCCCAGGCAGAGUUUGUGAGUCGUGUAAUAGGCGACCAUUUCACGCGGUUCGGGGGGCACUUGAAUAAGCCGCCGGCACCCGGCUGCGUCUUUACCCCUAUCCAAUUUUUGGGCCAAUUCCCCCUUCGUACUACCAAAAAAUGAGAUUCUUGCCGAAUCCGAGUUUGCUGCCCCAACCAUUACAAAACUAAUACCUAUUCUGUUUAGUACUUCAGGUGCUUCUCUAGCGUAUAAUGUAAAUCUCGUAGCGGAUCAAUUCCAAUGAGCCUUUCAAACUAGUACUUUUUGUAAUUGACUCUAUAGCUUCUUCAAUAAACGCUGGUUCUUUGAUCAAGUUUUGGAUGACUUUCUAGUCAUAUCGUUCCUGCGUUUCGGAUAUUCAGUCUCAUUCGAAGCUUUAGACAAGGGUGCUAUUGAGAUAUUGGGCCCUUAUGGUAUCUCGUACACAUUCCGACGUUUGGCCGAGCGAAUAAGUCAACUUCAAAGUGGAUCUAUUGUGCGAAGAGUGUGUUAUGAACCGUGGCCGCCUACCUGCUUUGGUUGGUGGGGGCGGCUCCUACGUUGUGGGUAAACGGGAAACCCGACUCUACGAACCCGAGGAAAGGCUUCACAGCAUUGGUAGGGGCGUUAAGACCGGAGCUUUUUGUAGUGCUAGCAGGAAUGCAAGUGAAUGAAUCCAAUCCCAUCCCCUUUAAAAUCGGCGAGGUAAUACCUUAUUGAAGUAGGGCACGCUACGGCAACACAGGACUGACGGGGUGGGGGCUUGCUGUCUACUUGGCGAGCCUUCACUGCCCCCUUCUGUAACUUCCCUUCUUUCGUCCGUCCACGAGGCAGUCAAAAGAAAGAGAGAAAGGGGCGGCUAUAACGCAGGAGUCGUGGCGGUUGUAUGCCACAAGGUCCCUAUAGACAAGGGGACAAGUGAAUCAUCGCUUUUGGGCGCAGGCGGCCCUCUACCAUCCAUCCCAUUGCAUUUCUCUCGUAGAGUACUGUACCGUCUCAGACCAGAUACAUCUAUGGAAAGAAAGGAUUUCAUAGAAAAUCUGCAUUUUUCUAUUUUUUUAUCCCCAUGCAUUCCGUUAUUCCCGUAACUAUGGAUUGAUUGUCCCUACCUAACUAAAUGGUAGUGGUCUAGGGAGCGCAAUUUCUAGAGCACGGGAGAAUGAAGAGUAAUGAUCUAAGCAAGAGCAGCCGGACGGACUACUAUAGUAAGUCUAGUGACUACUAUAGUCUUUUCUUUCUUUGUAGUUGAGGGAGUCCUGGACUAGGGGGUGUCCGGACAGCCGGACUAUCAUCGUCCGCCGGACUCCAAGACUAUGAAGAUACAAGAUUGAAGACUUCGUCCCGUGUCCGGAUGGGACUUUCCUUGGCGUGGAAGGCAAGCUUGGCGAUACGGAUAUGUAGAUCUCCUACCAUUGUAACCGACUUUGUGUAACCCUAGCCCUCUCCGGUGUCUAUAUAAACCAGAGGGCUUUAGUCCGUAGGACACAACAACCAUUACAACAAUCAUACCAUAGGCAAGCUUCUAGGGUUUAGCCUCCUUGAUCUCGUGGUAGAUCCACUCUUGUACUACCCAUAUCAUCAAUAUCAAUCAAGCAGGAGUAGGGUUUUACCUCCAUCGAGAGGGCCCGAACCUGGGUAAAAACAUCGUGUCCCUUGUCUCCUGUUACCAUCUGCCUAGACGCACAGUUCGGGACCCCCUACCCGAGAUCCGCCGGUUUUGACACCGACAUUGGUGCUUUCAUUGAGAGCUCCCCUAUGCCGUCACCGAUAGGAAGGAUGCCUCCUCCCAUCUUCAAGGACGGUAUUUUCGCCAAAGGAGCCUUGGCCGCCAGCCAAACUAUCCGGCUAGGUGGUUUUCUUAUGACCGCCUGUCCGGCCACCGCUUCGACAAUGACCUCUCAAGUCGUCAAAAGCAAUCUUCGCGUCAGCUCAGAAUUCGCCGAGCGGCUGGAUCCAAUAGAGCUCUCGUCCGUAAACGAGCUCUUGGAUCGCAUCGCCGCCCUGGGAGUCGCUAUAGACUACAAUCAGAUUGGGCUUAAAACCGAUCUGAGAGAGAUUAACUCUCCCCAGGUCACCCACCACGUUGCAGUGGUAGAGGAACAAUGCGGCGACUCUUCUCCUGUAUUGAAAACUAGUCAUGUCCGGGCUGCCGAACCCUCCAUGCCGGAUUCCCGCGGAGGGACAGACUUCAAUCAAGCACUGAACCUAAAGUCAGGCAUUGGACCGGACUCGUUGGACAACGUUCCACUUUCCAAGCUUCCAAAUUCAGAAAAUUCUCGGCCCUUGAGCCUUGAGAUGGGUAGGGUUCCGGACUCAAUUCCACCCACCCGCCCAGACAUAUGCGAUCUAUCUCUAAUCCAGAAAGAGCCCGCUGAAACAGUACAUCAUUACUGGGCCAGAUUCCUCCUGGUUAUGGACAGGAUAAAGGACUGCCGAGAGGAAAACGCAGUCUCAAUCUUUUGCAAUAAUUGCACGGACGAGGGAAUCUUGAACGCCAUCAGCCGUCGUGAAGUUACACGCUUCGCCGACCUGGCGUCCAUAGUACGAAAGUACUGUGUGAUGGAGAGUUUCCGGAAAACCGAAAUUACGUUUUGGGACAAUCCGGCCCCGAAUACAACCCUAGUCCGCAAUAAAAGGGUGCAUUACACUCAGGCACCGGGUAUAAAAACCAAAAAGCAAAAACCCCAUAAAGGGCAUGGAACCGUACUGGAGGGGUGGCUUAGCGGACCCUGUAAAAUUCACAGUACAGAGGGCGCCACCCCAACACAUAGCCUUCGAGCAUGUUGGAUAUUACGGCAGGUGGCCAAAAGUGGCGAGAAGCUUCUAGCCCCGGAAAACCACUCCAACAAUACCGUUACGGUAUCAACAGUCUUCGAGACCUUUGCAUCAAAUAAUAUGCGGAAACAAACAAUCCGCAGCCUUGCCGAAGUCUACCAAGUAGCAACAACAAAUCCAUGGAGCGACACAGCCAUCACCUUCAACGCCAACGACGAACCUAAAUUCCGAACAUCCCGAGCACCAGUCGCACUGGUACUUAGUCCAAUAGUAGACGGCUUUCGACUCACAAAGGUCCUCAUGGAUGGCGGCAGCGGAUUAAACCUCAUCUACGAGGAAACUCUUCAAAAAAUGGAAAUAGACUGGAGCCGCAUUGAGCGAAGAAGCACAACCUUCAGAGGAAUAAUCCCUAGCCGGGAAGCGCGCUGCACCAGAAAAAUCACACUCGAUGUGGUGUUCGGCUCGCCGGACAAUUACAGAUCCGAAGAAGUCACGUUCCAGGUGGCCCCGUUGAACAGCGGAUAUCAUGCUAUAUUAGGACGAGAGGCAUUCACAAUUUUUCAAGCCGUACCCCACUACGGGUACAUGAAGCUCAAAAUGCCUGGGCCCGGCAGAAUAAUCACUCUCGUUAGUGAUCCGGACAUAGCACUCCGCGCCGAAAACAAGACAGCCGCAUUAGACCUGGAGGCACUAUCCGAAGCCCUAGCGGCAGAAGAACUCACCGCGCUACACUCUACGGUGAAUAGGGACGAUGUGAUACUCUAUAAGAGAUCCAAGUCCACCUCCUUUAAACCAGCGGACGAAAUAGUAAAAUUCCAGGUCCAUCCAACGGACCCGACAAAGACGGCCUCCAUCGGGGCACAAUUGAACCCUGAUGUAGACGCCGCAUUGCAAGAAUUCCUUCAGGAAAAUUGGGACAUCUUCGCCUGGCACCCUUCAGACAUGCCGGGAAUCCCACGCAGAUUGGCAGAGCACAGCCUAAACAUCCUAAAAGGAUUCAAGCCAGUCAAACAGGCUCUUCGACGAUUUUCCGAACCCAAAAGACAGGCAAUGGGAGAAGAGCUAGCCAAACUAUUGGAAGCCGGAUUCAUCAGAGACAUCAAACAUCCGGAUUGGCUAGCAAACCUGGUAAUGGUACCAAAGAAGGACAAAUCCUGGCGCCUAUGUGUCGAUUUUAAAGACCUCAACAAGGCUUGCCCAAAGGAUCCCUUCCCCCUCCCUCGCAUCGACCAGAUAAUCGAUGCUACCGCAGGACAUGAUUCAUUGUGCUUCCUUGACGCAUACUCCGACUACCAUCAAAUCAAGAUGGCAGAAGCGGACCAAGCCGCAACAGCAUUCAUCACUCCAUACGGACCAUUCUGCUUCAACACAAUGCCCUUUGGACUCAAAAACGCCGGCGCAACAUAUCAACGCAUGAUUCAGACAUGUCUGGCCACCCAGAUCGACAAAACAGUAGAGGCAUACGUAGACGACGUAGUCGUCAAAACCAAACACGUCGAAACUCUAGUAGACGACUUGAGGCUCACAUUCGACAACCUCAGAGCAUAUGACAUCAAGCUGAAUCCGGAUAAAUGCAUUUUCGGAGUACCGGCCGGAAAGCUCCUGGGCUUCAUUGUAUCCGGUAGAGGAAUUGAAGCAAACCCAGCUAAGAUCCGAGCUCUGUCACAACUAGAUAUUCCAAAAGACCUCAAACAAAUACAAAAAUUGACAGGAUGCGUGGCGGCUCUGAGCCGCUUUAUCUCCCGUUUAGGAGAAAAGGCAUUGCCCCUCUAUCGCCUCCUUAGGCGCACCGAACACUUCAAGUGGACGGAUGCUGCCACUGCCGGACUCGAAGAAAUAAAAGCCAUAUUAGCAACAAAUCUGGUCCUGGCUGCGCCCUACCUGGGUGAACCAAUGUUGUUAUACAUCGCGGCAACACAUCAAGUUGUAAGCGCGGUACUCGUCGUCGAACGAGAGACAGAAGGGCAUAAAUUCCCUCUUCAAAAACCAGUGUACUACGUAUCCACUGUGUUAACCCCCUGCAAGUCCCAUUACCCGCACUAUCAAAAGAUAGCGUAUGCGGUGUUCAUGGCAUCCCGGAAGCUCCGACACUACUUUCAAGAGUGUUCGAUAACAGUGGCCUCUGAAGUACCCCUCAACGACAUCAUAAACAACCGCGAAGCGACGGGCAUGAUUGCAAAAUGGGCCAUUGAGCUCUUACCAUUCGAUAUAACUUACAAACCUCGGCGAGCUAUAAAGUCACAAGUUUUGGCUGACUUUGUCGCUGAAUGGACCGAAGCCGAACUCCCUAAAGAGUACGUCGCAUACUCCAAUUGGAUUAUGCACUUCGACGGAUCUAAAAUGUUGGCCGGAUUGGGGGCUGGCGUCAUAUUGACGUCCCCAACCGGAGACACAGUCCAAUAUGUAUACACGGACUCUAACAACGCAGCUGAAUACGAGGCCCUUUUACAUGGCCUCCGGAUGGCAAUCUCCAUGGGCAUUCAACGCCUAGAGGUGCGCGGGGAUUCAAACCUUGCAAUGUCCCAAGUAAAUGGAGACUUUGAUGCCAAGGAUCCAAAAAUGGCAGCAUAUCGUAACACUGUCCUAAAUGUCAGCUCGGUUUGACGGACUUGAAUUCCACCACGUAUCCAGGGAUAAUAACCAAGCGGCCGACGUAUUGGCACGCAUCGGCGCAAAACGUGACGCUGUCCCUCCAAACAUCUUCCUGGAACGGCUGUUUAAGCCAUCCGUACUAUGGGAAGAGGAGUCCGGAAAUACCAAACCGGAAGCAGCCACACCAACCGACACUGAGCAAUCUAACAUAACUGGCGAUUCAGCCGAUGAAAUAACACCUUCAUCCCACGACAUAAUGGCAGUAAUCGCCCCGUGGACAGAGCCAUUCCUAGCCUACUUGCUUAGGCAGGAACUUCCCGAAGACCAAAAUGAGGCCCGCUGCAUAGUCCGGCGAUCUAAAGCCUACAAGGUCCAUGAGGGAGAACUCUAUAAGAAAAGCACAUCCGGAGUCCUUCAAAGGUGUAUCUCCGAAGAGGAAGGGCGAAACCUUCUGGCUGAAAUUCAUGCCGGACUAGGCGGACACCACGCAGCAGCUCAGGCCCUUGUAGGAAAGGCAUUCCAUACAAGAUUUUAUUGGCCGAAGGCCCGGGCAGAUGCUCAGGAUUUAGUCCGAAGAUGCGUCGGUUGUCAGCUCUUUGCUAAUCAGAGCCAUAUGCCACCCACCGCCCUCAAAACUAUACCCAUUACCUGGCCGUUCGCGGUCUGGGGUCUUGACAUGGUUGGACCCCUUAAAGGGGGAACCCACAAGCAAAGGUACCUAUUGGUCAUGGUGGAUAAAUUCACCAAAUGGAUAGAGGCCAAGCCAGUCAAAACGGUAGAGUCCGGACCAGUGAUAGACUUUAUCUCCGGGGUAGUACACCGUUAUGGUGUCCCCCACAGCAUCAUCACCGAUAACGGCACGAACUUCACAGCCGACGAGGUUAAAUCAUGGUGCAAAAAUAUGGGCAUUAAGCUCGAUUACGCUUCAGUCUAUCAUCAUCAAACCAACGGUCAAGUGGAACGAGCGAACGGUCAUAUAAUGAGCGGCAUCAAACCCAGACUAGUGCGGUCACUUACGAAAUCUGACACGCAUUGGGUAGAGGAGCUAGACUCCGUACUCUGGGGGCUGCGGACAACGCCCAACCGUACUACCGGAUUCACACCAUUCUUUAUGGUAUACGGGGCAGAGGCAGUUCUGCCCUGCGACAUCAUUCAUGACUCACCUCGAGUGCGCAUGUACGAAGAAAGAGAAGCCGAGCUGGAUCGGCAGGACAGCUUGGAUGCAUUGGAGGAAGAACGUGACGUCGCCAAGGCUCGUUCCGCAUUCUAUCAGCAGCAGGCUCGAAGAUAUCAAAGCAGAGAAGUACGGGCCAAGACUUACAACGUUGGCGAACUAGUUCUACGCCUGCCGGACAAGAAAAAGGACAAACUCAAGCCCAAAUGGGAGGGCCCUUUCAUCAUCGAUCAAGUCCUGACCGGCGGAGCGUACCGUCUAUGAAAUGCGUAGGAAAACCAGCUUGAGCCGAACCCAUGGAAUGCAGCCCGCCUCCAAAGAUUCUAUGCCUAGCGCCGGACUAAGAGUUCGUCCCCUUCCCCCAUCCAAACUUUUACAUUGUAGCUGUCUUUUGUUUCUCUUUCUUCUCUCAACCCUUUUCCUAAAAAGCCCUUAAAGGCCUACUUGCGCAUUGUUCGCACUCACUUGAUGUGCCAUCCACACUCAUUAUACCUGGGGGACUUCUUUACCAGAAGCUUAAUUAUAAGGGCUUCAUGCUCAGCACAUGCGUCAAGCUUCCACAUGUACCUUUUAUUCACCAUUAUAUGCAUCGAUAUGACUUAAGUUUUGGCCAAGCUGGGUUGCCUGGCUCCUGUGCUUACCUCUACGUUCCCGAUUGUUCGGCUAGGAGGUAAAGGGAGCACCUCUGUGAUUGUUACUGCCGGGUCAGCCGGAUGUGUACCUCAGACUGGGUGAAGCUGAAAGUUAGCGUUCUUAAGGGAAUAUUCGGUCGGUGACUUGAAAGAUGAUUUUUUACCUACUUAUUUAUCUGCCCCCAGAUGUUUUUCUGCUCUUUUCGCAGUCCGGACAUGCAGUUUAGGGCAUGCCUCCCAGGGAAAGGAACCCUUAACAGAACUAUUCUCCCUAGAAGAUGUUUCUUACUAACCAUGUAAUAUAACAUAACUAGUUGGGCACUUGUCUGAUAAAGCACUAAUGACCCCUACGACUGGUCUCCAUGCAUACCCCGGUUGUUUCUUAACCGAGAAGGUAUUCGGACACACUCCGGACUCUAGGGUCCCGAGGUUGAAGCGAAAAGGUCAGCAAAGAUAAACGAUCUACAAUCCGGCUAGAAGGCAUUUCACAUGUCAUUUUAAAAUACAUUGUCAAAUCUACUGACUGUAUUCCUCCUCAAUCCCAUCUAAUAGGCUGUCUAAUUUACAGUCCCGUUGGGAAAAUUUAGCGGCCAACUCUACUUGGCCGUAUACUAAACUCACAGGGAUCUCCUUCCCAUCGGGCCCCAUAGGUCCAACCUCGGCCAUGUGGUUGGGAUCCGCCUUCUUGUACCGCGUCUUCACCAUGGCCCACGCCUCCCUAGCACCUUGGCGGCAGGCCGAAAUCUUCCAUAAACGGAAGCACUGCCGCACUCCCUGAAGCUUCUCCGCAAGCUCCCCAAGGCCCUCGGGUAGGGAGAGGGCUGGCCAUAAAGCCUGGACGACGCCGCUCAUUGCCUGCCGAACUCGUUCGAGCAGCUGCAACAGCUCGGGAAGUUGAUCACCCGUUGAUACGGGUGAGGGAGUCCUGGAGGGGUGUCCGGACAGCCGGACUAUCAUCGUCCGCCGGACUCCAAGACUACGAAGAUACAAGAUUGAAGACUCCGUCCCGUGUCCGGAUGGGACUUUCCUUGGCGUGGAAGGCAAGCUUGGCAAUACGGAUAUGUAGAUCUCCUACCAUUGUAACCGACUCUGUGUAACCCUAGCCUCCUCCGGUGUCUAUAUAAACCGGAGGGCUUUAGUCCGUAGGACACAACAUACAUUACAACAAUCAUACCAUAGGCUAGCUUUAGGGUUUAGCCUCCUUGAUCUCGUCGUAGAUCCACUCUUGUACUACCCAUAUCAUCAAUAUUAAUCAAGCAGGACGUAGGGUUUUACCUCCAUCGAGAGGGCCCGAACCUGGGUAAAACAUUGUGUCCCUCGUCUCCUGUUACCAUCUGCCUAGACACACAGUUCGGGACCCCCUACCCGAGAUCAGCCGGUUUUGACACCGACAUUGGUGCUUUCAUUGAGAGUUCCUCUGUGUCAUCACCGAUAGGCUCGAUGGCAUCUUCAACCAACAACGCUGUCCAGGGUGAGACUUUUCUCCCCGGACAGAUCUUCGUAUUCGGCGGCUUCGCACUGCGGGCUAAUUCGCUUGGCCAUCUGGAGCAGAUCGAAAGCUACGCCCCUGGCCGUCAGGUCAGAUUCGGAAGUCUAAACUUCACGGCUGAUGUCCGCGGAGACUUGAUCUUCGACGGGCUCGAGCCACAGCCAAGUGCACCGCACUGUUACGAUGGGCAUGAUUUAGCUCUGCCGCCAAACAGUGCCUUGGUGGCCGCACACAAAUCCGCUUCGGCCCUUAGUCCGGAGCCAAUCGCCUAGAUCGAGGAUAGGUGGAUGGACACCACCUCGGGGGCUUCAACUUCCACGGCGAUGGAGCCGAACGCUAAUCUUGUCCCCCGUGAAACUCGUGAUUUUGAGGUGCCGGACUCCUCGCCGGACUCCGAACCUCCCACGCCCCUACCAAUCGAUUCGGAUUAGGUGCCGGUUAUGGAAUUCACCACUACGGACAUCUUCCAAUAUUCGCCCUUUGGCGACAUCCUAAAUUCGCUAAAGCAUCUCUCGUUAUCGGGAGAGUCCUGGCCGGACUAUGGCCAGGAUGGUUGGGAUGCGGACGAUGAAGAAAUUCAGAGCCCACCCACCACCCACUUUGUAGCCACUAUCGACGAUCUAACCGACAUGCCAGACUAUGACUCUGAAGACAUUGACGGUAUAGACGAUGAUGCCAGAGAUGAACAAGAACCAACGCCUACAGGGCACGAGAGGACCACCUCGUCAUAUGACAUAUAUAUGGUGGAUACCCCAAAAAGAGAGUGAUAACGAGGACCAACGGGCCGCGGCAGAAGAUAACCCCGCCGACAAACAACCAAAACGGCGGCGCAGACGCCGCCCUAAGUCCCGCCUCGACAACAACAACGCUCCUAAGGACCCCGCAAUACAGCAUGGCACACAAGUGGACGACGAACAUGCAGACAAGCAACCGUCCGAACAGGACGAGUCAGAUAAUCAUUCUAGGCCCGGCGAAAACAACAGUCCGGACGAUCUCAUGCCGGACACGCCGCCGGAGAGUAAAAACCUUCGGAAAAGACUCGUCAACACUGCAAGAAGCUUGAAGAAGGAAAAGCGGAAGCUCAAAACAGCGGAAGGCACACUUAGGAUGAGGUGGAGCAAAGUGCUCAAAACCGCGGAUAAAUACGGCAAUGGCCACCAAUCAAAGAGCUACCCGAAGCGCAAGCUGCUACCAGAAUUCAACGAGGAGGCCACAGAGCCCCCACAGUCAAAGAACAAAGAGGCCGCCUGGUUGGAUAGACGACCGGAUGAUAGGCCAAAUUCUGAAAGCGGCGCCGCACAUAAACCAACUAAUGAACCUGGAAAGAUAGAUGGCCCAGCCAGGUCCAUUGACGGGCCAAAGAAGAAGGCCCCAGGAAGCAAGGCAACACGUCAAGUGUCCGAAGAUAGUGGCACACCCAAAUACAGGGGCGCCGCACACCCACUAUGUUUCACCGAUGAAGUGCUGGACCAUGAAUUCCCAGCGGGAUUUAAACCCAUAAACAUAGAGGCCUACGAUGGAACAACAGACCCUGGAGUCUGGAUAGAAGAUUAUAUACUACAUAUACACAUGGCCAGAGGAGAUGAUCUCCACGCCAUAAUAUACCUACCCCUCAAGCUCAAAGGGCCAGCCCGUCAUUGGCUUAAAAGCCUCCCAGAAAACACUAUGGGAAGUUGGGAAGAGCUCGAGGACGCGUUUAGAGCAAAUUUUCAAGGGACUUAUGUCCGCCCUCCGGAUGCAGAUGAUCUAAGUCAUAUAACUCAACAGCCCGGAGAGUCAGCGCGCAAAUUCUGGAACAGGUUCCUCACCAAAAAGAACCAAAUAGUCGACUGUCCGGACGCCGAAGCCUUAGCAGCUUUUAAACACAAUGUCCGAGACGAAUGGCUUGCCAGACACCUCGUCCAAGAGAAACCGAGGACGAUGUCUGCGCUAACAAGCCUCAUGACCCGCUUCUGUGCGGGAGAGGAUAGCUGGCUAGCAAGAUGCAGCACCAGCGACCCAAGUACAUCCAAGACAAGAGAUGGAAACGGAAAAUCACGGCGCAGAAAAGAGCAGCGCCGGAAUAAAGAGAAAAGCCCAAAGAGCACGGCAGUCAAUGCCGGAUUCAAAAGCUCGCGGCCAAACAACAAAACACCACCUCUUAAGGAUGACAGCGAUGAGUUGUCCAACUUAAACAAGAUUUUGGGUCGGAUAUGUCAAAUCCACAGUACCCCCGGAAGGCCUGCAAACCAUACCCAUCGAGAUUGUUGGGUUUUCAAAUAGUCUGGCCGACUAAACACCGAACACAAGGGGCUCGACGCGUCAAGCGAAGACGAUAAACCCCACCAGCAGAGCACCGGAAAGCAAAAGACUUUCCCACAAGAGGUCAAAGCAGUAAACUCACUUCAUGUGAUAAUACGGAAAAAUAGUGCUGCACCUUCUAAAAGGAGCCUCGCACGGUCCAACCCAGCAGACCAUAGAGAUUGGAUAUCAAAACCAAUCACUUUCGACCACCUGGAUUAUUCCAGAAGCGUUCGAAAUGCAGGACGGACUGCCCUGAUAUUGGAUCCCAUAAUCGACGAACUACAAUUUACUAAAGUCCUGAUGGACGGAGGCAGCGACUUAAACUUGCUGUACUCAAACACAAUCCGCAAGUUGGGGAUAGACCCUACUAAAAUUCGACACAGCCGCACUUCCUUCAAAGGAGUGACGCCAGGCCCUUACGCCAAGUGCACAGGCUCCCUAUCACUAGAAGUUGUGUUCGGAUCACCGAACAACUUUCGACGCGAAAAACUAGUCUUUCAUAUCGUCCCAUUUAAAAGUGGAUAUCAAGCACUCUUGGGACGAAAGGCUUUUGUCCGUUUCAACGCCAUACCGCAUUACACGUCUCUUACACUCAAGAUGCCCGGUCCACGUGGCAUCAUUUCAGUGCAAGGGUCACUUAAAGACCCCGGACACGGAUAGACGAGUCCGGCAUCAGUAGGCUAGGGGCUCCCUAGCUGCACACCCCUUCACAAGGGGCUGCGCGCACAAACAACCGCGAGUUCAUACAAACUCCGCUUUACUUAUUUUUCUUCUUUCACACAUACCUUUUUCGCACGAGUUGUUUUCAAACUAAAGUUCCUCUCUUUUUACAGAUGAACAACGUGCACACCCGUCCAGGAUAAUGGCACAACGGAGACACAGGCGCAGACGUGCAGUAGGGACCCGUUGCGAGGAUUCUUUUCAGAUUAAGACCCUGCGUAAACCUUUUUUACUGUCUCUUGUUGUUAUUCUUCCUUGGUUUCUUCCUAUAACCAAAGCGGAGCCUGAUGUUUUGGCAUCGGCCGCGUCAGAGGACCAUGCCCGUACCUGGACACUAGGGGCUUAGGGCAUUAUUCUGCCCAUUAUUAUAAAGACCGAACACCUUAGGGAGUGUUCGGCGUCUCCAGUUAGGCAUUAUAUGCAUCAGCUCCGAAUCAUAUCUUUGGUCAAAUGUUGGGUUUGCCCGGCUCCUGUGUUUUGCUGCCUUACGUUCCGUAUCAUCGGCUAACGCAGCAUCAGGAGAACUACUGUGAUUGUGCCCCAGUUCGGCUGGGCGAGCACCUCAAUAGAGAAAGCCGAAAACUGACUGUCAUGAUAUAGCGAGAGACUGGUCAACCACUCGAUCGACUACCGGAAUGUUUAGAAUUCCCCGCUUUGACGAAGGACCGUUUCCCGGUCAGGCACACACGCGCCCCGAACUCGGAGAAGUGUGGUGCCCCAAGGGGCUAUAUCGUAGCCCCACCCUCGAACUCCACUGGCUAAGUGAAAGUGAUAAAGCAUCAUAGUCCGGAUUGCCUUGUUUGCUACGCUAUCACCUCCUUAACAGGACCAAGACGCCGGAUUAAGUGUGAAAACGCGCUAUUUUUGCGAACACCCCCGCACCUUGUGCGUGGGGGCUGAAGCCGAAGACUGCAAUCUUUCAGGUUAUACAAAUGUAUAUGUAAACGGCCGCACAUGAGAAAUUUUACUACUUGGGACACACAAGUAUAAAAAGCAGUUACAGCAUAAUCAUCGUUUUACAAGCUAAAACGUUCAUUUGAACAUGACAUUUUUUGAGCACUGCGACUCUAUUACACGAGCGCCACGCAUAACUUCCCCAAAAUAGUGCUCGGCAGGGAGCCGGCUUUCAUCCGAACCCUGGGCGGCAAUAGUGGCGGCAUCCAUCUCUGUCCAAUGUGUCUUCACACGGGCAAGAGCCAUCCAUGCGCCUUCGAUGCAGGCCGACUGCUUCAUCUCCUUGAUAUGCGGCACCGCUCCUAGAAAUUGUUGCAGUAAGCCGAAAUAGCUCAUCGCCUUGGGCCUCUCUGGCCAGACAUGAGCCACGAUGUCAGUCAUGGCAAGUCCGGACAAUCUAUUCAGCUCGGCCCAUUCGGCCAACCGAUCGGUCAACGGAAGUGAAUGAUCCGGACUCUGGAAUUGAGACCAGAAUAGCUCUUCCGUCUUGUGAUCCUUCUGGCUUCGGAAGUGCUCAACGGCAUCAUCCGCACUUGCCGCUAAGUCCAUAUACGGAUCCUCCAGACUCCACAGCUGGACAAGUUGAGCAUACUUUUGAUCCGUAAACCGGCAACGCAGCAGAAAAGGCUUGCCAGCCACGAUAUCUCCGGCCUGGCACAGCUCCUCCUUCAUGGCCCGCAUUGCAGAACGGGCAUCCUUGGCCUCGGCGGUGGCCUUCCCCAGGUCUUCCCGCUCCGAUAAGCGCUCCUUUUCAAGAGCCUCAUUGCGGUCGGCAGCAUCUUUUAAUUUCACGGCCAAUCUGGCCAUCUCUUCCCUGCUUAGGCAGUGUGCAGCCUUUUCGGCUUUCAACUCCUCGGCUGCCCUCGAGGCAUCCGCGUCACUCCUUCGGGCUUGCUCCUUAGCUUGAGCAAGUUCGGCCCGAAGGCUCUCCACAGUAGCAGCACCAUCUGUAUCAUAGCAUAUAAUUUAUCAGAGGAGGGCUUUGACCCCCUUAAUAAAGCGACUGUGGAAAACUCAUUUACCUUGCGACUCGUCAAGUCGCCGGUUGACAAGUGCGAUGUCCGCAUCCGCCACGUCAAGUUGCCGCAUUAACUCGGCAACUCCAGUAGUCCGGCUAGCCCUCGGACUAUCCGCCACCUGCAUAGGAACGGCGACAUUCAUUACUUGCGAUUUUGAUCCUCGGCACGCUGUCGUUUUCGACAACCUACCGAGUCUCAGGGGCUACUAUCUAUACAGGGCGCACUUUUAUGUGCAAAACUGUCAAAAAAAAGGUGUGUCAUUCCCGCGUACCUCAAAUCCCGCCAGCAAACUCGUAGCGGCAUUACGCAAUCCGCUCUCGGCGGACGAAAUCCUUCCAAUCACCAUACGCAUCAACGCACGGUGAUCUUCUGAGAUGGACGCCCUCUCAAGCAGAUUUUUCAGUUCUCCCGGCCGGAUACUAGCGGGCGCCGAACUCUCCGGCCCCUCCGGACUCGGGGAUACCCUCCGUGACGAUACUUCAGGCUCGUCUGCCCUAUCUGACGGCGCAGCAGACGGAGGCGUUUCGCUCUCCAUCAUCUCCGGAAGAAGGUCCCCCGAAGACGAACUCAUCUGAGAAGGCUGCAGAUCCGAACUGCAAGAUAAAAAAUACGGUUACCCACAGAAGCACGAAUGGAGGUAUUUUCUUACUAAUGAACUCCUCCUUUCAUACUCACGGCUCGCUGGAGGGCUGAUCCUUUGGCAAUGAUUGUACGUACGGAUUCUCCUCGGACGCCGGACCCCCCGGUGAAGAUCUCUUCCCCCGUUUCGGGGCUUUAGCCUCCGGAUCUUCGGAGGCGGUCCUCUUCUCCCCCCUGGAAGGAGGGGUUUUUUAUUCCCCCCUCUUCAGACGCCCCUUCGGGCGAAAUAAAAGCUCCUCUAUUUUCCCCGUCGCUCCCUUCUACGGGCGCGACCUCCAACAUUCUGACCAGCACGGGCUCCAGUGCGGUCUCUGGGAGGGGAGCCGGACACCUUAUCAGCUUCGAUCGCGCUACCCACUCCUGUGAAGAAUAAUGGGUCAGGAGGCGAACACUAGAAAGGCAGAUAAAUAGAACGUCCGAACUCUGAGCUAUUUACCUGAGUAUCCGGGCGAUUGCAGCUUAGGCCUGCGUCCUCGGUCAAUUCCGGACACGCCACCUGCGGUCCGAAGAACAACUGGUACAUCUCCACGGGUGUCGCACCCAUGAAGUGUUGGAGAAUCCGAGGUCCCUCCGGGUUGAACUCCCAUAGACGGAGAGGACGGCGUUUGCAGGGCAGAAGACGCCUGAUUAGCAUAACCUGCAUCACCACGACUAGAUUGAUCUCCCUCGCUUGGAGGUCUCGAAUCCGGCCCUGCAAUGAGGGCACGUCUUCGGACGGCCCCCAAUUGAGCCCUUGGUUGACCCACGACAUCAGUCGGCGUGGAGGUCCCGGGCGGAAUGAAGGCGGCGGCUUUUGCUUGCUGCCCUUCGGAGCGGUGAUAUAGAACCACUCCUGCUGCCACAGUCCGAGUUCCUCUUGGAAGGAACCCUCGGGCCACGGGGCAUCGGCCCUUUUGCUUAUGGCCGCCCCGCCGCACUCCGCUUGACGCCCCCCGAUCAUCUUCGGCUCCACAUUGAAGGUCUUCAGCCACAAGCCGAAGUGGGGAGUGACGCGGAGGAAGGCUUCGCAGACGAUAACGAAUGCGGAGAUAUGGAGGAUGGACUCCGGAGCCAAGUCGUGAAAAUCCAGCCCGUAGUAGAACAUGAGCCCUCUCACGAAGGGGUCCGUCGGGAAGCCUAAACCCCGACGGAGGUGGGAUACGAAGACAACGUACUCACCAGGCUCGGGGGCAGGCACGUCCUGCCCUUGGGCGGGCAACCUGUGCGAAAUCUCGUAGGAUAGGUACUUGGCCUCACGCAGCUUCAAUACGUCCUCCUCCGUGACAGAGGAGGGCAUCCACCGGCCCUGGAGGUCGGAGCCGGACAUGGUUAAGAAUCCGAAGCGCUCGAAUCUGAGGCUUUGGGUGUUGGAACUGGGAGCGAGGAGGAGAUUCGAUGCGAGAUUGAAGAAAAACGAACCUUGGUCCUCUUAUAAAGGGGAAAAAUACCAAGGGUCGUCUCCGUGACCGUUCGGGAUUCACCCUCGAUGGAGGAGGCGUGGCGACGGGCAUGGUUGGGUUACCCACGCACGUAUUGAUGAAUCCCGGAAUAAGGGGAACAGGAUCUCUGCUUCGACAAGACGUGCCAAGGAAACCGCUUCGCUAAACGCGCUGAGGUGGUAUAAUAAAAAACGAUUCAAAUAAAAACCUGGUAGCGGUGUGAUGCCAUGCCGCAUAAUACGUCAGUAGAUUGGACUUGUGUACAUUUUAUUCUCUCUACGGUGGAAUGUGGAAUUUAUUUUGCAGAGUCGGACACUAUCCUGGUGUUCAUGAUCUUCUCUGGAUUAUUCAAGGGAGGAACCCGCCUUGCAAUGCCGAACAUUAUGCGCGCUGGACUUAUCGUCAUUGAAGCCUGGUUCAGGGGCUACCGAGGGAGUCCUGGACUAGGGGGUGUCCGGACAGCCGGACUAUCAUCGUCCGCCGGACUCCAAGACUACGAAGAUACAAGAUUGAAGACUCCGUCCCGUGUCCGGAUGGGACUUUCCUUGGCGUGGAAGGCAAGCUUGGCAAUACGGAUAUGUAGAUCUCCUACCGUUGUAACCGACUCUAUGUAACCCUAGCCUCCUCCAGUGUCUAUAUAAACUGGAGGGAUUUAGUCUGUAGGACACAACAUACAUUACAACAAUCAUACCAUAGGCUAGCUUUAGGGUUUAGCCUCCUUGAUCUCGUGGUAGAUCCACUCUUGUACUACCCAUAUCAUCAAUAUUAAUCAAGAAGGGCGUAGGGUUUUACCUCCAUCGAGAGGGCCCGAACCUGGGUAAAACAUUGUGCCCCUCGUCUCCUGUUACCAUCCGCCUAGACACACAGUUCAGGACCCCCUACCCGAGAUCCGCCGGUUUUGACACCGACAACGGGCAUCUCCUCCGCAGGGCGACCUGUGAGUAUACCUACAAGACAUAUUUUGUCAAUUGACUUCCUCGCCAAACUCUUCUUUUCAAAGGAGUCCGCUCAAGCACUUACUAUAGAUGCCACGACGAAGCCGCUCAGUCUCCUUAACGGAGCCGGACAGCUCGGCCCGAACACCUUUCAGCUCUUCUCCGAGCUGGGUGUGGGCAUCCUGGAGCUUGUUCCUUUCCUGCUGCACCCUAUUCAGCACCCUCUCGCCGGCCUUCAGCUGGCGCAGUAGUUCUUGCCUAUCCGGAUCUUGUCCGGCAGCACCUGCAACGACAUUAUUAGACUUGCACGCACACCGCACACCACUUAUCUUUUUAAAAUAAUGUGUUACCAGGAGGGGUCUCUGUGUUUCCUCCUGCGGCAGCAAGUGCGGCCUCGAGUUGGGCCUUGCACUCUUGCAGCUCCUGAGACAGUUGGGUAUUCUUCUCCGUAAGACCCUGCGUUUCAAAUGAUCCUUAAAUCAGUUAAUAUAACUACUUUAAGUCUCGGGGGCUACUGGCACGUACAACUAUUAAAUUCUCUUACCCGUAUGUCUUUUACAUACUGCUCCGUUGCUCUGGUAAAACCAUCUUGAGCCGCACGGAGGUGCGCGUCCCCCGUUUUAAAGGCAUUCAACGCCUCAGGGGAGAAGCACGCGUCAUGAAAUACUGUCUGGCAGCGCCUGUGGUUCAUGGCGCUCUCCACCUGAGACAUGGUGGCGGACAGUCUGUCGGCAUCCUCCGUUGGAGGAGUGUCCGGCUCGCGCCUUGCGCUCGCCUCCCCCUCCAGACCAGGUGCUGGAGCCUGGCUGGUAGAGGUUGGAUUGGCAACCUCUACGCCCGCAGUCCGGCGGGCGCUUUUUCUCCUACAAAAGUCAUGAGCACUCAAAGGCUUCCUAGGAGCGUUGCUCCAAAUAAUUAACUGUGAGCUAUACCUUUGCGGCGACGUUUCAGUCCGCGCCGCGCUCCUCUUCCGCCUACUGGUCCGGACUGGCCUUUGUUGGUCAGCCGCUGCGGGCUCGGCUUCCCGCCUUGAAGGCGCUUCCUGCAAAACACCAUCGUAUGCGAAGGUCAGAAAUGAGCAAGGAAGAGAUAAUGGUGUCGGGACUUCGGUCACAAUCACCUGGGAAGCCGGAUAUAGUCCGGGGUAGUCAGCCGUAAUGGUGACUAAAGCAUUAUCAAUGCUGAGCUGAUGGAACACCCCAUCGAUUAGCUUCACCUUUAUGUCCGGAUCCUCUUCGGAGGCCGGAUCCUGGGAUCUCUCUGGAUCCUCGGGUUGCGGAGCUGGACUUAGCAUGUCCUCCACAACCCGACGCAGCUCCUGCAUUGAAAACAUGAUAUAAGAAAUUUAAACUUUGAAAGCAUGGGUCGGGCCCGUAAAGUGUUCGCUCACCCAACGCCGAGGGUUAUUCAUGGAGAACCCAUUCAACGGGUUUGUCCGGAGAAAGUCCUCCUUCUCCCCCUUGUACAGGCCGGACAGGAUCUUCGCCAGAUCCUCGGCCGAAUCCGGUCCUUUGCGGCCAUGACGGGUGGCAUCGUCCUCCCCGUUGAAAUCCCACAUGGGGUGGCCCCUGUAUUGCAGUGGCUGCACCCCCCGCGUAAUGCAUGUUGCCAUGACUCCAAUCAUGGUCAACCCGGAAUGGGCCAAUAAUCUUAUCCGGCCCAUCAAAUAAUGGACGCUCUUGUCUUCCUCCAAUUGGGGGCUCCGCGGACGCCAACUGAGGCGUUUCUUCAGGGGAGCAUUAAUGAACUCCGGGAGGCCGAUCCGAACAGGGUCCGGCAGCGGAGCGUCUUCUAUGUAAAACCAUUCCGAAGGCCAGUCUUCGGACGCCUUCUUAGGGGUUCCGGAUGGAUAUCCGGUCCUGGCAAUGCGCCAUAUUUCGGCGGCGCCCACUUGAUAUAUGGACCCCUCGUGAGAGCGGGGUACAAGGCAGAACAACCUCUUCCACAGUGCAAAAUGGGGCUCAACGCCCAGGAAUAGCUCGCAAAGAGCUACGUAACCCGCGAUAUGCAGGAUAGAGGCGGGCGUAAGGUGAUGGAGCUGGAGUCCGUAGAACUCCAGGAGCCCGCGGAGGAACGGAUGUAUAGGAAACCCGAGCCCCCUUAUCAGAUAGGGGACAAAGCAUACCCGCUCCCCUUUGUUGGGACUUGGGGUAGCCUCCGCUUGCUUCCCACCUUGGUAGGUGGCCAACCCGGCUCGAACCGGGACCAUGAAGGCCGGAGGGAGAUAUCCCUUUGCUUGGAGCGUCACCAGCUCAUUGUGCGGGACAGAACAUCUCCUCCAAUCUCCUAGCGGAGGGCUAGGAGCGCGAGAGGAGGAGCCGCGUCGACGGUCCAUGAUAGAAUGGAUUCUUGGUCAGAAGCGCUCUGAUGAGUACUCGCGGAAGGAAGAUGGUGUGAUUUGGAUCUGGAUUCUUGCCUCUCUUAUAGGCAGACUAUUUGCACAGCUAGGGGGUAAAACAUAAAAGAUGCCUUGGCUUUUCGCAUUCGUGCGAUGCGUGGAAGAUGGCCAUUAUUGGGCGUGGAAGCCAAGAAGCGCAACAUUGAUAAGGGAGCCGGACACUGUUCGGCAAACACACGGAAUUUGGAGGAGAACCCGCCUUGCAACGCUGAAGACUAUAUACGCGCCGGAAUUAUCGUCAUUGAAGCCUGGUUCGGGGGCUACUGAGGGGUCCUGGACUAGGGGGUGUCCGGACAGCCGGACUAUCAUCGUCCGCCGGACUCCAAGACUAUGAAGAUACAAGAUUGAAGACUUCGUCCCAUGUCAGGAUGGGACUUUCCUUGGCGUGGAAGGCAAGCUUGGCGAUACGGAUAUGUAGAUCUCCUACCAUUGUAACCGACUCUGUGUAACCCUAGCCCUCUCCGGUGUCUAUAUAAACCGGAGGGCUUUAGUCCGUAGGACACAACAACCAUUACAACAAUCAUGCCAUAGGCUAGCUUCUAGGGUUUAGCCUCCUUGAUCUCGUGGUAGAUCCACUCUUGUACUACCCAUAUCAUCAAUAUCAAUCAAGCAGGAGUAGGGUUUUACCUCCAUCGAGAAGGCCCGAACCUGGGUAAAAACAUCGUGUCCCUUGUCUCCUGUUACCAUCCGCCUAGACGCACAGUUCGGGACCCCCUACCCGAGAUCCGCCGGUUUUGACACCGACAGUAGUUAAGUAAUAAUGUUUGGUAUAGCAGCCUUUCCGAGCGAGUCUCUGGGAUCUCCUGUAAACCCCCAUGAUGUGGUAAAGGGAGGAUAUUAGGGGAAGCGGUGAGUGGAGAUUCCCCUGCGGGGAGCCGGAUGAGGGGAGACCCUCACGUCCGGUUCGGAGGGCGGGGAUAUCCCGACCCUACUAUCAUUAUGCCUUUGCAAUGUUACUUGGUUCAACUCCAUUUGUGACCUUUUCUCGUAUGUGGGACUCUCUAUCUUCUUGGGUAGAUUCUAG
RNAcentral lists this long non-coding RNA (75895 nucleotides) under Triticum aestivum (bread wheat). The record is from RNAcentral. Lineage: Eukaryota; Viridiplantae; Streptophyta; Magnoliopsida; Poales; Poaceae.